RNAcentral lists this long non-coding RNA (48291 nucleotides) under Lactuca sativa (garden lettuce). Its description in RNAcentral is "long non-coding RNA (LSAT_LNC000842)". Lineage: Eukaryota; Viridiplantae; Streptophyta; Magnoliopsida; Asterales; Asteraceae. The record is from RNAcentral.
ACAGUCAGUCAUAUGUUGGAAGUAGGUAUGAAUCAAGACUAUCAUGAAUUGGGCUUGUAGAUGUCUAAGGUGUUAGACAUAUAAAAAGUUGCUGCAACAUUCAUGAGUGCUCAUAAGUUCUGAGUAUUAGAUUAAACCCACGCUCACUUGUAUCACUUCAUGGAAUUUAUCUCGAGUGAUCGUGAGAUGGUAAUAUCAUAUAAGUCUUCAAACCUAGAGAUAUGAGUUUUUGAUUAUGAGUUGGUUGUGCAUUGAUUGCACGAAAACUCAUCAGUAACUUGAUGUUAUAAAACGUGCUUUUAUGUAUGAUUCAACAAGUAGUUAGUACAAGCAUAUGAGUCGAAGUUUAUUUGUUCUUUUUAGUCCUUGGAGGAUUGAAAGCAAUAUCUGGGCCCCUUGAUGAUUUUUUUUUGACCUAUGUGUCGGGCCUGGUCAGAAUCAAAUUGAUGUGUUCAGUUUAGUUCUAUGUCAAACAAAUCGGAAAUCGAGAAACAAAUUGUUGGACAAUAAGUACGACAUUGUUCCAUGUAUUUGUCCGGCUGAUAUCUAGAACAGAGGAUUAUAUGAUCACUUAUCUUAAAUCGCGCAUCAUCAUCUUAGUUCCACGAGACUUUGAAAGAGCUACGAUUGUUGGUCAGAUCCUGAAGUUACACUUGUAACUUUAGUUAUUAGACUUAUCCAAGUGGGAGACUGUUGGAUAAGCUGUGUAAGUCCAUAACUAUAUUUAGUAUGUACUUGAUCCAGCUUUGCAUGGUCCAUUUGGGUUGCAUGGCAUCUCAACAAUUGGAUAGACAAAAUGAGAAUAAGUACACUUAUGAUUUGUUAAUAUAUUCUAAUAUAUUAAUAUGAAAUCAUAUUAUUUAAUUAGUAUUGAUCAACAAAUAAUUUGGAAUUAAUUUUGUGAACAAAAGAGACUAAUUAAAUAUAUGGGGAUUGAUUAUGUAAAUCUUUCAUUCUUAUAUAGUGGGCUUAUGGUACAUGAUUCACUAGAUUGGGCUAGGACCAUUGGGUGCUCCAUGGAGGUUAAAACCCAUAGAUCAUGGGGGAAAUAAAAAUCCGUGCACAUUAGGGAUUACAUGGUGUAACCCUACAUGUAACAGACUACAUAAGGAACCUCAUAUGGAGCAAAAUCGGCCACUAAGACAAAAAAGAGUGAGGGCUAGCCGAAUUUGUGCUCAAAUGUACUUCUCUUAAGUUAUUCCAAGGGUUGUGGUGUUGUAUGAAGCAUUUGAGGCAUCACAUUUCGGGUGUUAGGCUCACAAGGUCUCUAGGAAUCCAAGCAACAAGAAAGGUAUGUCAUUCUACUAAUUUUUAUAUUACAAGUACCCCAUGGUAUGCUAGUUAGAAUGAGAACCUUGGAAAAAUCAUAUUUGCAUGUAUAUUAGAGAAAACAUAGAUCCAAGGUUUCUAGGGUUGCAUGUACACCAUAGGAGUGUUAGAAUGCUCAAAACCCAUCAGUGUUGUAUGUGAUUUUUAGGGAACUCACUAUGCUUUGAUUUUAUUUGUGGAUUAGAUAUUUUUCAGGAACUUAUCAGAUUGCAUAGGCAGAAUUGUACACACACAUCAACAUUUUUAUGAUUUGAGAUUAUGCAUGUCUUCCUUAUAACUUGGAUUUUGAAUUAUGGCUAAUGAAAAAUUGGUUGAAUUAAAUGUAACUUUAAUAAAAAUGGGUGUUUAUUUUACUUUUUUAAUGAAAAUUUUAUUUUGGAAUUUGGGACAUUACAUUAUGUGCAUGCAUUGUAUGUGUAUUAUUUUGUGGAGUAUCUUGGAGAACUGACUAAGCUUUUGCUUACACUUAUGGAUUUAAAUGUUUCACAUACUUCAGAGGAUUGGGGUAAAGUAAAGGAGUGAGUUUAUACACUAUCCUGAAGAUUUUACGAUUUUGAGAGAUGUUAUGUUAGUAUAUUGUGAUUGACUAUUUUGUGAAACAAUUGUUUUUAUGGUGUUUAACUUUUGUAAAAAUGGAUUAUAUUUUUCUUUUAAAAUCUGAAAAUUUUUACCAUGGUUUUUGAGGCAUUACAUGCAUAAUCCACUUGAUCGAUUUCCAUUGAGCUUUCUUCGAAUCACUCACAAACCUACUUACCAUACUAAAUGCAUGAACCAAUUGAGUCAUAGUACAUACAAUAUCAUACAUGUGACUUCUAAUAACACUUAAAUAAGGAACCAUGCUUAUUAGUCCCUAUCCUCACUUUUAGACUAUAUAAUACUUCGACAAAGUUUAAAGAUUUAUGUCAAAGGAGUUCUAACAGGUUUGGACUGCUCAAAAUAGAACGAUUGCAAUACUUUAUGAAUGUAGCUUUGUUGAGAUAUGAAUAAAUUAUUUAUGUAUUGCCAUAUCUAGAUCCCAAAUAUAUUCUUUAUAACUCCCGAAUCCUUUACCACAAGCUCACUUUCCAAUAGCUUAUUCAAGUCAUUAAUUUAAGCCAUAUUCUUGGAUGAAAUGAGCAUAUUGAUAUGGUAUUUUUAUACUUAACAUAUUUUAGGUUUUAUUUAUAGAGCCUUAAUAUAUCACGACUUAACCAAUACGGAAAUAGGUAGUGAACUUGAUCAUGAUUAUCUCUAUGACCUUCUAUAUGAAAGAGUAUGGUAGGUACACAAUACUUGUAUGAAUGACUAAGGUGGACCAUAACACUUGUAUGAAAGACUAUGGUGGAGCAUAGCAGGAAAGACUAUACUGAGUUGUAGUAACGAAUGUGAGUGCAAAUCUAUGAUGAGAUCGUAAUAUUUACAAGGGUAUGGAGUAUUCUGGGGAAAUCACAAAGCAUUGUGCUUACUUGUUUAAUUUUAAAUAUUACAGGUUGUUCUGGCAACAACAAGGAGGGCAAGUUUGAUUGUAUUGCAUCUAUAGACAUGUUUUUGGAGAUUUCCACUUAUUUGAUUUUGCUAUCUUAUUACUCUAGUUUUGGAUUAUGAUUUAUCAAACUAAAACAAAUGCUUGUUAAUUGCUCUUUUUGAGAAUGAGAUUAGCAUGAUUACCAUUAUUUAAAAAUGAAAAAUUUUGUUUGAAUUUUAGGAUGUUACAUUGUUAAUUUUAAAUAUGGACUUUUUUUCUCUAGAUCAUACCUACGAUACCUUAUGUCAUUGUACACCUAGUGCAUUGUAACAUGUGUAACAUCCCAAAAUUCCAGACCAAAACUUUCAUUUUUAAUUAAGUUAUUAUAAAACCAAUUGCAUAAAAACAUCCCAUGUCAAAACCCAAAGUGUCAAUAAUCAAAACGUGUUAUCAUAAAAUAGUAUUAGAGUGUAAUCCCAAAGAUCUCAUGUGCGGAAAACAUAGUGUGAUGCACUACGAUCGCCAACUCCUUUCCUUUUAAAACGAAGUACCUGAAACCAAAAAUAAAAACUGUAAACACGAAGCUUAGUGAGUUCCCUUAUCAUAACACAUACCAUACAACACACAUACUACCAAGCAUAUCUGGGUGCUGGCCUACCCCUUCGAUAUCUUUCAAUCGGUAUCCGGGGACUGUUUCACCCCAAUCACUACCACAUAAUAACAGAGCAUAACAUACAGAAAUAUAGUGUCAAAAAUAUCUGGAUGCCCAACGUACCCGUUCGGUAUCUUUCAACCGAUAUCCGACAGCUAGCCUCCCCUUCGAUAUCUUUCAACCGGUAACUGGGACCUGGCCUCCCCUUCGGUAUCUUUCAACCGGUACUGGGGACUAUUUCACCCCUACCACUACCACAUAAUUGUUGGAAUAGUGUCUAAGGCUACAACUAUAUUAAACAAGUAUUUGACCCGGUUGUGCAUGGUCCUUUUGGGUUGCCUUCACCAUAGCAACUUGAUAGGAUGAUUUAUUAAGAGAGAGUAAAUAUUAUUAAUAUAUUAUGAGAAUAAUAUAAUGAAUAAUAUAUUUGUUAUUUGAUUAAUAUAAGUCAUAGAAUUAAUUAGAAUUAAUUUGGUGACUUAAAGAGAUUAAUUAAAUAAAGGGGUAUAAACUGUCAAUUGUUUGAUAGUUAAGCUUUAGACUGUAAAUCCAUUAGGAUAUGCUUUGGACGAAUUCUAAGGGUUUUAGGAUAGCUAAACUCGUCCAUAUAGAUAUCUAAGGAAUGGAUUUGGAUAGCCUUAAGAGAAGAUUAUCCAAUUAGGGUUUAGGUUGUAACCCUUAAGGAGUCUACAAAUAUAAAUAGACCCCAUGGCAUAGGGAAUUCAACACAUAUCCUAAAGUAAGAGAACCCUGGCCGAAUUCCUUCCCUCUCCUCUCUCCUAAAUCAUUCUUCUUGCUAUUGGUGUUUGUAAGCCAUUAGAGGAGUGACAUUUGUGACUCUAAAAGCUCCAAGACCUCAAGAUCAACAAGGAACUCAAAGGUAUGAUUCUAGAUCUGUUUCAAUGUUGUUAUUUAACCUAAUUAGUCAUUAGAAGUCUUGGAUUCAAAGCAUGUUUAUUAGAAAGCCUAGAUCCAAGCAAUAGGGUUUUGCAUGCGCACAUAGGAAAGUUCUUAUGGCUAAAACCCAUCAGUGGUAUCAGAGCCUAGCUUGGUUUUCUUUAAAUUGUUGCUUGAUUAACUGAAACAAACCUGCAAAAUUCGAUUUUUAGGUUUCUGAGUCACUGACUCGGCGAGUCCCCUUGUGCACUCGGCGAGUCCAGGCGUCAGGAAUGGCCAGAUUCGGGAUUUUUUCAUAAUUAUCUUAUGGAAACUUACCUUAAUCAUAAUAGAUCAAUCUAAAUCCGAUUUUUUGAUAUAUAUGACUAUUAUCUUGAUCUAGUUAAAGUGAUUAGAUAGCUUUAGAAACUUAUAAUAGACAAAUUGCAAUUGACAUUUUGAUAAUUUCAUAAAGGAGUAUUAUUUAUGAGUACUGUUACUAUCUUAUGUCAAGUUUUACUAUUGUUUCACUUUGCAUGUUUUUACUUCCCAAAUAAUAAGAUUAUUUAAAUGAUCAAAAGUUGUUCAUACUUUCAAAGUAGGUGUGAAGGAAGACUAUCAUGAAUUGGCUUGUAGACUAUCUAGAGCAUUUAGACAUAGCAAAAGUUUGCUGCAAUGUUCAUGAGUGCUCCUGAAAUAAGAUUUGAGUAUUGGAUUAAACCCGACUCACUUGAAUCACUUCAUGGAAUUAAUCACGAGUGAUUAUGAGACGAUAAUAUCAUAUAGUCUUUAAACCUAUAUAUAUGGUUUAUUGUUUGCGAGUUGGUUGUGCAUUGAUGAUACGUAAACACGUCUGUAAAUUGAUGUUAUAAAACACAUUGUUGUGUAUGAUUUGAUGAGUAAAUAGUAAAUGCAUAUAAGUCGAAGUUUAUCUAUUCCAUUUAUCCCAUAAGGGUAAAAGAAAUAUCUUGGGCCCCUCCAUCAUUUGGUUUGCCUUAUGUGCCGGUCCCGGUCAGGACUAAAUUGAUGUUUUCAAUUAAGCUCUAUGUCAGACAGAUUAGAGAUCGAGAAAAAAACUGCUGGACAAUAAGUAUGACUAUGUUCCAUGUGAUUGUCCACAUGAUAUCUUGAGAACGGAGGACUAUACGAUCCCUUAUAUCAAGUACGUGUCAUUGACUAGGUCAAAGUCUGACAGCAGCUUUUAAGAGAUACAAUUGCUAAUUGGAUCUUGAAGUUACAUUGGUAGUUAUAGUUAUUAGAUUAUCCAAGUGGGAGACUAUUGGAUCAGGUGUAUAAUCCCAUAACUAUAAUUAGGAUGUACUUGACCUGAUAGUAGCAUGGUCCUUUUGGGUUUCCUUCACACUGUUGACUAGACAGGAUGAAUAUCAAGGAGAGAGGCUGAUUUAUCAUUAAGAAUAAUAAAUUGGGACAUAAAUAUGAUUUAUUUAUAUAUUAUAAGAAUAAUAUAUUAAUUAAAAGUCAUAUUAUUAAAUAGUAUUUAAUCAGAAAUUAAUUUAGAAUUAAUUUUGGGAUUAAAGGAACCGACUAAAAGUGUAGGGGCUAUUUUGUAAUUAUUUGAUAGUUGAGGCUCUGGGCCAAUGGAUCACCUUAUUAAGCAAGGUCCGAAAAUCCUAAAAGGAUCUAGGAGUUUUCAUCCAAGGCUAAAGGCUAGGAGGUCCAUGGACUUGCUUAGGCCCUAAGCUAAGGGAUUAGGUUUUCCACCAUGAAAUCCUAGCUAUCCUCAAGUAUAAAUAGACCCCCUUAGGCUUUAGAUUUUGUCCACCCAUGAGAAACCCUAGUACAGCUGGAUUUUGGAGCUAGUAUAAUCCCUCGAUUUUCUCAUAUUCAGCCCCUCUCUCUCUCAAGUGUGUUUGUGAGCCAUUAGAGGUACUACAAUUGUGGUACGUGUUCUCAAGAGCAAAGGAACUUAAAGAUUUAGUUGUUAUUACUAUACAGCAACAAAAUGUAUGUAUUCUAUUCUUUGAAUUGUGAAUUUUCAAAAAUAGAAGAUGCUUUCUAGGUUUUCCUUUGUGGUCAUUUGUUGUAUGUCUAAUAGUGAAAACAUAGAUCCAAACUAGGGUUGUAUGUCCACAUAUGAUUGUUUGUAUAAAAGCCAACAGUGGUAUCAGAGCCUUUGCUUUUUGUUUUCAAUUGGAUUUGAUACAAAAGUAUGAACUUGACAAAUUAGGGUUUAUGGCUAAUAAACCCUAGGGCUUGAAUUUUUGAAAUUAGGGUUCCAAAACCCUAGUUUGGAAUUUUGUUAGGGUUUCUUAAACCCUUUUCUUUGGCAUUAAAAUUUUGAAAGUAGGGUUGUCUAACCCUAGGGUUUUCAAAAUGACUUAUUCCCCAAGAUAAGUUUCCAAGAUUUUAAGGAUUAGGAUAAUGUUAUCUUUUGUAAUUAUCCCUUUAAUACUUCGAAUAGAUAAUUAAAGAUCGUUGAAUUAUCCCAUCCCAAAUUUUUGAAUUUUAGGAGAUAAAGGGAUUAGGUUAAAUUAAUUGUUUAAUUUAAUGGAUAAUCCUUCAAGAUUUAAUAAUUUAAAUUAAUUAUUUAAUUUUGGAUCAUUAUUAAAUAAAAGUUUUAAUAUUUAAGAUUUUAAAAUUAAAAUGUAUUAAUUUUCGAAAAUUUUAAAUUUGAUUAAAACCCUAGUAUUUUGAAAUGUUUAAAAUACACCCUUAUACUGUUAUAAUAUUAUAAAAUUAAUAAUUAUAUAUAUAUAUAUAUAUAUAUAAGAUAAGCUAGUCUUACNUAUAUAUAUAUAUAUAUGUAUGUAUAAGAUUAAACUAGUCUUACUAUUAGUAGGCCUAAUUCACGAAGCCGAUCUAUAAGGGGGGUAUAAGGUUGUUGCCUAUAGAAUGCUAGGUUAAUGGGUUUCCACUCUCACCCACCGCUUCCUUAUUUGGUGGAGAGUCGUUAGCCAAACAGAAGGAUAGGGCAACUAAUUCCUCAUUAAAAGUACAAUUAUUAAUAAAGUAACUAAAUGUUUUUGUAAAAUUCUCAAUCUUACAUACUUUAGGAAAAAUGUGAAGAUGAUGCUAUUCCAUGAAAUUACACUUUGCACCCUGCCAAGUCGUUAAUGGAGCGUGUGCGGUUAACCGACAUACUAAUUUGGGACUAGCAAAGGUGGAAAAGGGUAGCUUCAUGUUUAUCAUAGAUCAAUGGAGCAUGUGUGGUUAACCGGCACAUUGAUUAGGUGAUUUGUAACAUCGAGAGUACCAAGUACAUUUGCAUGGUUAUUUACACCUUACUUGUGAUCCUCGGUAUCCCAGUCAUAAACUUGAAAGGCAUAUUGAGAUUUAAACAUGCCAUUGAAACUUUCAAUGAAUCUUAAAAGAAUCUAGGAAUUUCAAUUCAUUUCAAACUUCAAACUCUUUUCGUUUUUGAUGGUGGAAAUUAGUGAAUCGUCAUUCACUUACCUUCAAAUUAUUUGCAUUCUAUAUUACGACAUCCCUUUUCUAAAUUGUCAAUAAUUGUGUUGAGUCCUAGCCCUAGAUUUUCAUUUGGGUGUUAAAUUGGGGAUUCUUAUCUAAUCAAAAUUUGUCUUUUUUUUUUUUUUUUUCUUUUCAGAUGUCUGAUUCAAAAACCAACGCUUCUGGCUCAACCCAUGCUGGCUCAUUCUCACUUAUGAAUUUGAAUUUGUGUGGGAGGGUUAUUUUUGACGGGACCAAUUUCAAUGAUUGGAUCCAAAAUAUCUUCAUGGUCACCCGCUAGGAGGAUAAGGAGUAUGUUCUCGACAAGUAGUUGAAGGAGGUUGACACCAAAAAUGCUACUCCCGAGGAAAUUGCUGCAUUCAAGGAUCACGAGCGAGAUGCUACAGAAGUUCAUUACAUCAUGCUCACGACUAUGACUGUCGUACUCCAAAAGUCCUAUGCGGACUACUACCCCUACGAGAAGUUUCACGAUUUGAUGGAUAGGUACCAUCAAAGCACAAGGCAGGAAAGGUACAAGAGCAUUGCUUCGAUAAUCACUACCAAAAUGAGAGAUGGAAAGUCCAUCACGGCCCACCUGCAGAAAAUCCAGAGGUAUGUGGACCGCUUGCUGAUGUUAAAUGUUAACUCCGAUGAGGAGCUGAUCAUAGAUAUCAUACUUCACUCCUUACCUCCUUGUUACAACUAGUUCCGUAUGACCUACCGCAUGAACAAGGAAGAGGUCACUCCAAGCAAUCUUCAAGGUCUGUAAGGACUACUGAGAGUAGUCUAAAAGACAAAUCUAUUGCAUCAACGCCUUUUGGUACCGCCCUUAUUAUGGCUAUUGGGCAAGGGAUGGGUAAGAAGAGGAAGGCUCCUUCUAAGAGCCACCAUAAGGGAAAGUCCCAUGAUGGUACCUCUUCUAGUGGAACCAAGGCUGGUCCCGCUACACCCUCCUCGAACCCGAAGGAUGCUGAUUGCUGUUACUCGUCAUAAAUGACACGAAACAUUAUUUAUUUUCAUGGUUUAUAUACACAAGGUUUUAGAUUUUCGUUUGAUAAUGAAAAAUGUUCUAUUAAUGCUUUCUUUAAUAGUACUUUCUAUUUUGAAGCAUUGCCUUGUAACGGAAUAUAUGAAACUGUGAUGGUUGUAGACAACUUAAGAAAUGAUGUGUUGUAUAUCGUUUCUUCCAAUGGUUUGGAUAAAGCCUGCUUGUGGCAUUGUCGUCUUGGACAUGUCAACAAGAGGCGCAUAGCCCAACUCUAAAAGGAUGGAAUGUUAUAGUCAUUUGACCUUUGGGACGAUGACGUGUGUGAGUCUUGUUUACUUGGAAAGAUGACCAAGUUACCCUUCACUAGUACUUGUGAAAGGGGUGAGGGUUAAUUAGAUCUCAUACACACUGAUGUAUGUAGGCCCUUUAGAUACACCACAAGGGAUGCGAACCGCUUCUAUGUGACUUUCACUGAUGAUUAUAGUAGAUAUGGGUAUAUCUACUUAAUCAAGCACAAGUCAGAAACUUUUGAAAAGUUCAAAGAGUUUAAGUAAGAAUUGGAGAAUCAGCUGGGCAGGAAAAUCAAGAUGCUUCGAUCCAAUCGAGGUGGUGAGUACCUUAGUCUUGAAUUACACGUCUGCCUCAAGGAAUGUGGAAUUGUUUUGCAAUUGACACCACCUAGGAAACCGCAGUUGAAUAGUGUGGUUGAGAGGUGCAAUCAAACCUUUUUGGACAUGGUUCAGUCCAUGAUGAGUCGCACUUUGCUACCUAUCAAAUUUUGGGGGAAUGCCUUAGAGACUGCCGCCCAUAUCCUUAAUCUAGUCCCUACAAAGAAGGUUGCCAAAACACCUCACGGGAUGUGGACAGGGAAAGAUCCCUCAUUGGUACAUAUCAAGGUUUGGGGUUGCGAGGCUUUCAUAAGAUGAGAGACUCACGACAAGCUUGAACCUCGUAGUGAGCAGUGUAUUUUCAUCGGAUAUCCGCAAAAUUCCUUGGCAAUCUCUUCUAUUGACCGAGUGACAAUGUUGUCUUCGUUGCGAGGAGAGGAGUUUUCCGAGAUUGAGAAAUCUUAAGCCAAAAGGAUAGUGGGAGGCAAGUUGAUCUUGAAGAGCUUGAAGAUUCAAGUGAUGAAGGAACCUCUAACGCUAGCGUUCAACCAGAGGAAACUCCUGUUGAACCGAUUGACGAGUGUUUACCUAUUAGACGUUCUAGUAGAGUUAGUGUUCCACCUGCGUUUUAUGGUUUUCAUAUUACUAUGGAGGAUGAUACGUUUAUUAGUCAUAGUACAUUAAUAAAUUUGGAUGAACCUAAUAGCUACAAGGAAGCCAUGGCAGUCCAGAGUCUGCAAAGUGGAAAGAGGCUGUGGAAAGCGAGAUUCAAUAUGUGUAUGAAAAUCAAGCCUGGAACAUGGUUAAAAAUGUACCAAGUCGUAAGACGCUCAGGUGCAAAUCGAUCUUUAAGAAGAAGAAUGACAUGGAUGGGAAAGUACACACUUAUAAUGCGCAAUUGGUUGCAAAGGGCUUUACUCAAACUCCCGAAGUUAACUAUGAUGAGACCAUCUCACCAGUAUCGAAGAUAAAGUCUAUAAAGGUUAUGUUAGCCAUAGUUGUGUUUCAUGAUUAUGAAAUAUGCCAGACAGAUGUCAAAACUACUUUCCUUAAUGGGAAGUUGGAUGAGGAUGUUUACAUGAUUCAGCUGAAGGGUUUUGUCGAUGCAAAACACCCUAAUAGAAUGUGUAAGCUUGAGAAAUCCAUUUAUGGAUUGAAAAAAGCAUCUCACAGAUGGAAUCUUUGUUUCGAUGAGAAACUCAAUGAGUUUGGUUUCUUGCGAAGUGAGGAUGAGUCCUAUGCAUAUGUCAAAGCCAGUGGGAGUAUAGUUAACUUUCUCAUUUUGUAUGUUGAUGACAUACUGCUCAUAGGAAACGACGUCCCGACCUUGCAGGAGGUUAAGUACUGGCUUGUGAAGUACUUCGCUAUGAAGGAUCUUGGAGAAGCUACUUAUAUUCUUGGGAUAAGGAUUCUGAGAAAUAGGAGUAAAAGACUAAUAGGACUUAGUAAAAGUACUUACUUGGAUAAGGUACUAAAGCGUUUUAGUGUGGAAAAUUCCAAGAAAAGGUAGUUACCAAUCCAAAGCAAUACCAAGUUGAGUAAGACUCAAUGCCAAAGUACCGAAGCCGAGAUAACAAAGAUGAGCAGAGUACCUUAUACUUACUCAGUUGGCUAAAUCAUGUAUGCUAUGACUUUUACUCGCCCUGAUGUGGCCUUCGCUUUGAACAUGGUCAACAGAUAUCAAGGGAACCCUGGUAGAGCACAUUAGACCGCAGUCAAGAAUAUUCUUAUGUACCUUUGGAGAACUAAGGAGUGGUUUCUUAUCCUUGGUGGGAGUGAUGAAUUAAAGGUGCGAGGGUAUAGUGACGCCAUUUUUCAAACUGAACGAGACAAUUUCCAUUCUCAGUCAGGCUGGGUCUUUACCCUGAAUGGAGGAGCAGUGACUUGGAAAAGUGCCAAGCAGGAGACCAUAGUUGAUUCAACGUGUGAAAUCAAAGUACAUAGCAGUGAGCGAAGCGUCAAAGGAGGCGAUAUGUAUAAAGAACUCGAUCGGAGAUCUUGGAGUUGUACCGGCCAUAUAGGAGCCUAUGGAGAUUUUAUGUGACAACGAAGGUGCGGUUUCCUUGACCAAGGAACCAAGGGAUCAUGGUAGAUCCAGGCAUAUCUAUAGAAAAUAUCAUUUCAUCAGAUAUCGGGUAGAAGAAGGACUACUCAUAAUAAAGAGGGUAUCGUCAAAGGAUAACCCAAUAGAUCCCCUCAAGAAGGGACUGAGUAGGGUUAUGCACUUCGGGCACCCUAGGAGCAUUGGGCUGAAGGACGAUAUUAAUUUUAGUGAUUAGAUAGCUUUAGAAACUUGUAAUAGAUAAAUUGUAAUUGAAAUUUUUUGACUUAAUAAAGGAGUAUUAUUUAUGAGUAAUGUUACCGUCUUAUGUCAAUUUUUUUACUGUUGUUUCAAUUUGAAUGUUUUUACUUCCCAAAUAAUAAGAUUAUUUAAAUGGUCCACAGUUGCUCAUACUUUCAAAGUAGGUAUGAAGGAAGAUUGUCAUGAAUUGGCUUGUCGACUGUUUAAAGCGUUUAGAUAUAGCAAAAGUUUGCUGCAACAUUCAUGAGUGACCCUGAAAUAAGAUUUGAGUAUUGGAUUAAACUCGCACUCACUUGAAUCACUUCAUGGAAUUAAUCACGAGUGAUUGUCAGACGAUAAUAUCAUAUAGUCUUUAAACCUGGAUAUAUGGUUUCUUGUUUGCGAGUUGGUUGUGCAUUGAUAAUGCGUAAAUGCAUCAGUAACUUGAUGUUAUAAAACGCAUUGUUGUGUACGAUUUGAUGAGUAAAUAGUAAAUGCAUAUAAGUAAAAGUUUAUGUAUUCCUUUUAUCCUAUGAAGUUAAAAUCGAUAUCUUGGGCCCCUCGAUGAUUUGGUUUGACUUAUGUGUCCGGCCCGGUCAGGAAUGAAUUGAUGUGUUCAAUUAAUUUCUAUGUCAGACAGAUUAGAGAUCGAGAAACAAACUGCUAGACAAUAAGUAUAACUAUGUUCCAUGUGAUUGUCCACACGAUAUCUUGAGAAUAGAGGACUAUACGAUCCCUUAAGUAAAGGACUUGUCAUUAACUAGGUCAGAGUUCAACAAUGACUUUUGAUAGCUAAAAUUGCUAAUCGGAUAUUGAAGUUACAUUGGCAGUUAUAGUUAUUAGACUAAUCGAAGUGGGAGACUGUUGGAUUAGGUGUCUAAUCCCAUAACUAUAAUUGUGAUGUACUUGACCCAAUAGUAGCAUGGUCCUUUUGGGUUGCUUUCACACCAGUGACUAGAUAUGAUGACUAUCGAGGAGAGAGGUUAAUUUAUUGUUAAGAAUAAUAAAUUGGGACAUAAAUAUGAUUUAUUAAUAUAUUAUAAGAGUAAUAUAUUAAUUAGAAGUCAUAUUAUUAAUUAGUAUUUAAACAGAAUUUAAUUUGCAAUUAAUUUUAGGAUUAAAGGAACUGAUUAAAAGUGCAGGGGUUGUUUUGUAAUUAUUUGAUAGUUGAGGCUUUGGGCCAAUGUAUCACCUUAUUAAGAAAGGGCCGAAAAUCCUAGAUGGAUCUAGGAGUUUUCGUCCAAGGCUAAAGGAUAGGAGGUCCACGGACUUGAUUAGGCCCUAAGCUAAGGGAUUAGGGUUUCCACCUUGAAAUCCUUGCUAGCCUCAAGUAUAAAUAGACUCCCUUCGGAUCUAGAUUUUGUCCACCUUGGAGAAACCCUAGAAGAGCCGAAUUUUGGAGGUAGUUACCCUCCGUCCUCUUUCUCAUAUUCAUCCUCUUACUCAAGUGUGUUUGUAAGCCAUUAAAGGCACUACAAUUGUUGUACUUAUUCUCAAGAGCAAAGGAACUUAGUGAUUUAGUUGUUAUUACUAUAUACCAACAAAAGGUAUGUAUUCUAUUCAUUGAAUUAUGAAUUUUCCAAAAUAGUAGAUGCAUGCUAGGUUUUAUUUUGUGUUCAUUUGUUGUAUGUUUAAUAGUGAAAACAUAGAUCCAAACUAGGCUUGCAUGCACACAUAGGAUUGUUUGUAUAAAACCCAACAAGUUCCCCCAUCAUACCACGUACCAUACAUGACACAUACUGCCAAGCAUAUCCGGGUGCUGGCCUACCCCUUCAGUAUCUUUCAACCGGUAACUGAGAACUGUUUCACCCCUAUCACUACCACAUAAUAACACAACAGAACAUACCUAGAUUUACUGUCAGGCAUAUCUAGGUGCCCGACUUACCCCUUCGGUAUCUUUCAACCGGUAUCCGGGAGCUAGCCUCCCCUUCGGUAUCUUUCAACCGGUAACCAGGAGCUGGCCUCCCCUUCGGUAUCUUUCAACGGGUAAUCGGGAGCUGGCCACCCCUUCAGUAUAUUUCAACCGGUACCAGGGACUAUUUCACCCUUACCACUACCACAUAAUAGCAUAACAUAACGUAUUACUAGACAUGCAUGGGUUCUGACUACCCCUUUGGUGUCUUUCAACUAGUAUUUAGGGACUAUUUCACCUACUACUACUAACAUAUAUAAUAGAGCAUCCUAACACAUAAAGCAUAUCAGAUAGUGGCAAACCAGAAAAUUAUCACAAAGACAGUCAUCUAAAAAAUAUCUCUUACUCGCCGACAUUGUGGCCUUAGACCCACUUCUACUGGAAGGUAACUCACCUCAAAUUGUUGAAGUCCCUUAGACAAAACUCUAGUUGCUGGAUGAUAGGUUCUCGAACUGACAAUCAUCAAAAUAACACCCCAAUCAGUAAUUGGGUUCCAACAUAUACCCAUAAGUCCAUGCUUGGGGUAAGAGACUGCUUUACCCCUUUCUUAGCUUGAUUCAAGCCUAAGGCCCAAUCCAAAGGCCCAAAAGUCAACAAUAAGUCAAAGCCCAACAUAUGGCCGAAUUUUCCAAAUUGACCCUAAAUCUUUACAUGGUCUUAUUCUAUGACCAAACCAUUUAGUCCAAUCCAAACAUUUGGCAUUUCUAAUGACCCAAUAUCUCAUAAUCAUAAAGGCCAAAUUAUGGCCCACCUAGGGCCUAAUGUUCCAAAUUAGGCUCAAACCUUUACACGGGUCUCACCCUAUGCCCAAUAACUUAUUCCAAUCCAAACAUACCUCCUUAGCUAGUUCAAUAAUUCGCAACCAGAACAAAUAGCCCAAACCCGGAAUGGCCCACAAGGCCCAAUAAAGCUAAAAUCUAUCUUGGGCCUAACCUAAGAAGGACCAAUUUCCAAAAAGGCCUAAAUUACUAAAUGGGCUACCGUAACUAACUCCUAGUCCAUGGUCGAAGGUCCAAAAGUCAACAAAACAAAGUGACGCAACCGGAUCGACUACGCCCUGUGUACUCAUCUGGUACGUUGUGACAUCCCCAAUUUUAUCGACCAGAAAAGACCGAUUUAGUUUAUGCUUUUAAAAUAAAAUCAGAAUAAUUUUUCAAAAGAUGUUGCGGAAUUUGUUCCCAAAAAGAAUAUAAUAAAAAUUUAACCAACCAUUUCUUAAAGAAAUAAAUAUUUUCAUUAUAUAUCAAAAAACCUCGGUAUGUCAUGUUCUGAAAUAGACCGAAAGCAUAACUAGUAAAUUAUAAGCCUUACAACAAAUAUCUACAACUAAUGGCAUAUAAUUUAAAAAUCCUUCUUCAACCUCCAAACUAUGCUCAGGGUCCACCACCUGUAAUACAUAAAACUAAGUGGGUCAGACUUGGGAGCCUGGUGAGUAUAUAGUGUUUUCAACCCACAAAUAAAUAAAUUUAUUAAUUUCACUACCCAACAACAAAUUUAUCAAUCCUAAAUAAAUUUAUUAAUUUUAUCAACCAAAAAUAACCCUGAUUACCCAUUCCCGGUAUCCUCACUUGACGUCCCUCUAUCACAAGGGACCUAGUCUAAGGAUUUUCAUGAGGGUUACAACACUGCUUUAGGGGAUUCCUCAACAAUUUAUGUCAAAUAAGGCAACCGUGUAGGGGAUGGAGUAUACCACUCAACACUAAGUUCACAAACACCUACAGGUUACGAUCUUGCUAGCGUUCUACUGGAUUGUCUAGAAAAGUCUGUGGUUGUCAUCUAUACUCCGUUAGAUGACUGAAACAACAACAAUAUCGAAAUCUCUCAUCAUUCUAACACACACCAAGUAUUUGAUCUACCCAUGUUAUACCCAACAUAUUUGUAGUUAAAAGUAAAUAUACAGUUUAAAUCAAUUUAAAACUUGUAUAAAACAUUCAUUCAACAUCCAUCUCAAAUAAACAAACAAUAUAAUUACACAUAGCAUAUAUUUUAUAUAAAAUACUUCAUAUCUAUGUGUAAGGUGAAAGUGACCACACACUCACAUGAUAAGAUGAUAAUCAGGAAGCACCUCAUCUCUUAAAAUAAUAUUCUUCGAUGAAACCGGGGUGUUUUCUCAAAAACCGGGCUUCACAUGGGCAGAGUUUCGGCUCGGAAACACUUUUUCUCGGGAUCUUUGGGGCUCUCGGACUUGCUUAGGUGUUAGGAUGAUACAUUAGGCUUCAGGGGUAUUUCUUGCAAAGUAAAAGAGAGUUUAGAGGUGAAAGAUGUUAAAGAAGUAAAUAAAAACCCGGUUGACCUCGAGUCCUAUUUAUAGGGGCUAAAACCUCGAUUUACGCUUACACUGGUUGUACUACGAAGCGGUCCAGUACGCUACCUAGUAUGCUGGACAUACAAAGGGAUUGUACCAGAUGCAUCAAGGCUACGAGCACGCCUCUCUCAUGCGAAGUAGUAGGCUAUGUGGCCCAACUCAAACCAUGAACACAAGUAUGCUGGGAGUACUUCGAAUUUCCAUACUUCUAAAAUUCGUAACUUUUGCAUAAGAACUCUGUUUUUGGCGUCCUUUAUAUCCACGUGUAGGUGAGACUAUGAUCUAUAACUUUCGUUUGGACUCCGUCGGGUAGUUUUGAAUUUAUUUUUAAAGUUAUAUUUUUAACAGGCCGGGAUAGGAAAAGUUCGUUAAAAAUUCAUAACUUCUUCACCUGACGUCCGUUUUCAUUUGUCUUUUUACCGUUAAACUAAAAUCAACAAGAUCUUUGAUUCUCGUUUAGAUUGUCUCGGCUAAAAAUCGUUCGAUCUAAAUUUUGAGUUUUUGGUUGCAUACUGCCAAGUCAAAACUUCGAAAAAUCAUAACUUCCUCAUACGAAGUCAAAUUUAGACAUUCUUUUGAUGCAGACUCUUGGUUUAAUGAAUACUACGACUUUUGUUUAGAUCACUAAUGUUAAAAAGCACUUUAUCAUAAAUUCACUUUUUACGUCACAUAGCGUUGUGCCGGUUCUAUCGCGAAACUUCGACAUGUCAUAACUUCUUCGUUUUAACUUGGAUUUCGGUAUUCUUUAUAUCUCUGGAAUCCUUACUUCAACCACUACAACUUUCUUCAUAGUUAUUGGGUUUAUCUAACGUUUAUUUCCGAUGCUUAUUUUUAUAUUUAACUUAUUAAAUCAUUAUAAUCAAGUAAACAAGCACCAAAUUCACAUAAUUUCUAUUUAGUAUUUCAAAACCAGUUACAAAGGUUAACCUAGACUAUUACAUCAUAUUUAGUGCUUAACCCAGAAACACGGACGUUACAAUUCUCUCACCCUUAGGAUGAUUUCAUCCUCGGAAUCAUACAUCAACAAAUAAAUGUGGAUAGCGACUCAUCAUGUCACUCUUCGUUUCCCAGGUGAGAUUUAGCCCAUUCGCAUGUUUCCAUCGCACAAGCACUAAUUCGACCAUCUUGCGCCAUAACUUUUAGUCUUACGGUCAACGAUUGCCUCUGGUUCUUCGAUUAACCUCUUGCUUUCAUCCAACCUUAAUUAAAAAAUUGGAAUGAUGUCGGGAACAUCUCCAGUGAACUUCCUCAAAUAACACAUAUGGAAAGUGUUAUGAAUACCAUUUAGUUCUUCUGGUAGUUCUAGCUUGUAACCUUGAUUCCCAAUUCUCUGAAGCACUUUAAACAAUCCAAUAAACCUUGGACUCAACUUUCCCCUUUUACCAAAUCAUAUAAGUCCCUACCAUGGCGAGACAUUAAGCAAAACCGAAUCACCAACUUUGAAUGUUAUCGGUUUUCUUUUCUUGUCAGUAUAGCUCUUUUGAUGAUCUUGAGCUGCUAACAUCCUUUCCCUAAUCAUUUUCAACUUUUCAGCAGUCUGAUGGACUAUUUCAAGUCCCAUAAACUGCUUUUCUCCAGCUUCAAGCUAACACAAUGGCGUUUGACACUUUCUCCAUACAAGGCUUGAUAAGGUGGCAUCUUGAUGCUCGAGUGGAAACUGUUAUUGUAGGAAAAUUCUACCAAAGGUAAAUGUUCAUCCCGAUUACCUUAAAAUUCCAGGGUACAUGCUCUCAGCAUAUCCUCAAGUGUUUGAAUCAUUCGUUCGCUCUGACCAUCGGUUUGUGGAUAGUAAGAUGUACUCAGACACACUUUCGUACCUAAUUCCUCUUGUAGACUUUUCCAAAACCUCGACGUGAAACAACUCUCAUGAUCUGAUACAAUAGUUAAAGGCACACCAUGAAGUCUUACUAUCUCCUUCACACAAGUAUUAGCAAGUUUAUUCAUAGACCAUUUCUCAUUGGCUGCUAUGAAGUGUGCACUUUUUGUAAACCGAUCAACGAGCACAAAUCAUGUNNNNNNNNNNNNNNAAGGUAGUUUAGUCACAAAAUCCAUAGUGAUGUCUUCCCAUUUACCCAUGGGUACAGGUAAAGGUUGUAAACUCCCAUAUGGUUUCUGAUGUUGUGUCUUAACUCUCGCACAUGUCACACACUUGGCCACAUACUUUGCAACAUCAAGCUUCAUCGUCGGCCACCAGUAAUAGAGUUUCAGGUCCCUAUACAUUUCCGUGCUGUCGAGAUGAAUUGAGUACAUGGUAUUGUGAGCUUCUUGCAUCAGAAGAUCUCUUAUCCUCCUGUCUUAGGUACCAAAAUUCGAUCUUGGAAUACCUUCACUCAAUGACUUUUUAUACCGAACACUAAUGUUUUGCCCAAACAUUCUCCUUUUUGGUCAUUCUUCUCUGAAGCUUCCUCCUGAGCUUUCUUUACACUUUCUACAAUUGUCGAGACAACUUCAUUGUUCAACGCUCUUGGCCUUUUCUUUUCAAGUUUUACAUUCCGACUGAUAGCAUCAACAACAACAUUUGUUUUACCAGGAUGGUAAAGUAUCUCGCAGUUGUAGUCCUUGAGUAAAUCUAGCCGGCAUUGUUGCCUCAUAUUUAAUUCCUUCUAAUUAAAGAGAUACUGAAGACUCUUAUGAUCUGUGAAGAGUUUGCACCUUUGUGCCAUAAAGAUAAUGCCUCCAUAUAUUUAGGGCGAAUACUAUCGCUGCCAACUCCAGAUCAUGAGUGGGGUAGUUCUUUUCAUUCUCUUUCAAUUGUCGAGAUACAUAUGAUAUCGCCUUUUCUCUUUAAGUUAGGUUAUAUUCCAACCCGACUCUUGACGCAUCACUAUACACUGCAAAGUCUUCAACUCCAUCAGAUAGAGAAAGAAUCGUUGUGUCACAUAAUUUCUUCUUUAGAUUCUCAAAUGCUUCCUUAUGCUUCUCACUCCAAGUAUAAGUAGCUCCCUUAUGGGUCAAAGUUGUCAAUGGAUCAACUAUCAAAGAAAAGCCUUGGAUAAAUCUUUGAUAAUAUCCAGCUAAUCCUAAAAAGCUUUGGAUUUUCGUAGGACUGUUUGGUUGUUCCCACUUUGUUAUAACUUCAAUCAUAGCUGGGUCAACCAUAAUCCCUUCUUGUUUGACCAUAUGACCCAAAAAUUGGACUUCUUGAAUCCAAAAAUCACAUUUGGAGAACUUUGCAUACAACUUCUCGUUCUUUAAUACUUCUAACACUUCUCGCAAGUGUCUACCAUGCUCCUCUUGGCUUUUCGAGUAAAUCAGAAUGUCAUCUAUGCACACUAUCACAGAUUUAUCACAGAAUGGUUUACAAACCAUGUUCAUCAAAUCCAUGAAGGCUACUGGAGCAUUGGUUAGUCCAAAUGACAUAAACAAAAACUCAUAGUGUCCAUAUCUUGUUCUGAACGCAGUCUUCUCAAUAUCCUGCUCUCUCACCUUUAGCUGAUGAUAUCCUAGCAUAAGAUCGAUCUUCGAGAAAUAGCUCGAACCAUGCAUCUGAUCAAACAGGUCCUCAAUCCUUGGCAACGGGUACUUGUUCUUUAUUGUUGUCUUAUUCAACUCUCUAUAGUCUAUGCACAUUCUCAUACUCCUAUCUUUCUUCCUUACGAAUAAUACCGGAGCUCCCCAGGGUGAUGAACUAGGUCUAAUGAAACCAUUGUCCAACAACUCCUGAAGUUACGUCAUAUGCUCCUUCAUCUAUGUCGGCGCUAAUCGAUAUGGGUCUUUUGGUAUCGGUGUUGUUCCUGGUAACAAGUCUAUUGUAAACUCCACUUGUCUAUCAGGGGGCAAUCCAGGAAGAUUUUUGGGAAAAACUUCCGGAUAUUCACACACCACUGGUAGGCUUUGCAUUUCCUUCUUCUCCUUUUUGGAAUUGAUCACGAAUGCCAAUUAUGACGUACAUCCUUUACACAAACAUUUUCUGGCUGUCAUCAAGGAAAUGAUUCCAGAAUUCACUCUGCGCUUAUCUCCAUACACCAUAAAUGACUCUUUUCCAAGCGGGUUUACCCUUACUAUAUUUUCCUUGCAUAAUAUUUCGGCAUCAUUAGCGCUAAGCCAAUCCUUCCACAGAACGAUGUCGAAACCAUUUAACUCUAUGGGUAACAGCUUCUCUUGGAAUUCGUUUCAGUUCAUGUCGAUGACAAUGUUCUUAAUACAUUCACUAACAGGUAUGAAUUUGCAAUUAGCAACUUCUACAAUUAGGGCAUCAUCUAGCUUUUCUAUAGGCAAUGCUAGUCUUUUACCAAUUUUAUGUGAUAUAAAGGAGUAAUUCGCUCCGGAAUCAAACAAUAAUUUGGCAGCCAAUCCAUUUACUAGAAAUGUACCUGAUGUGACAUCUGUUGCAUCCUUUGCGGCUUCCAAAGUCAUUUAGAAAGCUCUAGAUUUUGGCUUUGGUGGAAGUUUAGGGUUUGCUACAUCCUUCUUCUUCGGGCAAUCCUUCAAAAUAUGCCAUUCUUCAUGGCACCCAUAGCACACCCGUUUAUUGAUUGUGAAGUUGCUGGCGUAGUGUGCUGGCUUCCCACACUUAAAACAAGUGACUUCCACGUCACAUUUUCCAUGGUGCUUUUUCUUGCAUUUGUCGCACCAUUUGGCUUUACCUCCUCCAGACUUCUUUGUACCAGAUUUCGAGAACUUGCUCUUCUUGUUGGUAUUUGACGACCCAUCAAAUUUCCUUUUCUCACCAACCUCUUUUCUCUCCAGACCCUUUUCUCGAAUUUAGGUCUCUACAUUCUUAGCAACCCAGAUGGCGGUGGCUUUCAGAUUUGUUGCUUGUUUGACCAUUGGACCAAAGUCCGCUGGUAAUCCGUGGGGAAACUUGUUGACCUUGAGAGUUUGGUUGGAACUAGGUAUGGAAUAAGCUUCAUUUUCUCUGUAAAACUUACAGUGUAAUCAGUCACGCUCAUUUUUCCCUUCUUCAAAUUUCGUAACUCAUUGUUAAUUUCCAAAAGAUCCUGCUCAAAGCAGUAUUGAAUCUUCAACUGUACCAGAAAAUCUUCCCAGUACAUCUUACUAGCUUCUCCCUUGGGCAUCGAAUCAGCUAGUAGCUUCCACCAGUUCAGUACUCUAGAUUGUAAUAGAGGAUUUGCGAGAGCGGUUUUCUGCUUGUUACUACACUCGUAACUUUCAAACAUUGUCUCCAUUUCGAAGAUCCAAUCCAUGACUUCCAUCGGUGUCGGGCUUCUAGAUAGACAUAGUGGUUUGGAUGCCAUAAAAUCCUUGUACUUGCAUCCACGUCCGUCAUUUCUUUCAUUCUGAUAGUAUCGUCUAACUAUUGGUGGGUUAGCUUGAACAAUAGCCUCACUAUAGUUUCCUUCUUCUGACUGCCCUUCUUUCAACUCGGGCUAUUCAAUAGGCACCAAAAUUUCCUCUUGGUUCUAUUGAAGUAAACGCCUUGUUUCCUCCAUUUGGCGAUCCAACAUCAUCUGCAUCAUUGCUUGUACCCCAGCCAUUGUCAUUGGCUCAGGUGCAGCUACUACAACAUGUACCUGCUCUCUCUCUUGGGGCUAAGCUUGUUGAAAUCUGUUUGCAUUUCUGGCUUCACUUCAUGUUUUCGCCAUUAUGAUCUAUAUACCAAAUAAGGCGAAUUUAGAUCUUCAUUACUCUGAAAAAUUAUUUGCUAGUUCUAGUAUCGUAGUCGCACGCUUAGAAUCCUUAACACAUAAGGUUUCUAGAUCCGGUCAGCAACAAACCAUAGAUCUAAAUAAGUAAUGGCAUAUAUGGAAAACAUAUAGCAUUUAGCACAUAAAAGAAUUUUAGGCAUCUAUCCAAAAAUAUAUUAGUGCUCGUGACUGAAAUAUGGUAUACACUUAUCUCACAAUUAUCACUUAGCAGUCUAAGUUUAAGUCUAUAAAUCUAACAAAUUCCUAGUUCGCAUAAACUAAUGCUAUGAUACCAACUGUGACAUCCCCAAUUUUCUCGGCCAGAAAAGGUCGGUUUAGUUUAUGCUUUUAAAAUAAAAUCAGAGUAAUUUUCCAAAACAUGCUGCGGAAUUUGUUCCCAAAAAGAAUAUAAUAAAAAUUAAUAAAAACAACAUUUCUUAAAGAAAUAAAUAUUUUCAUUAUAUAUCAAAAACCUCAAGAUGUCAUGUUCUAAAAUAGACCAAAAGCAUAAACAAUAAAUUAUAAGCCUUACAACAAAUAUCUAUAACUACCAACUUAUAAUUUAAAAAUCCCUCUUUAACCUACAAACUACUCUCGGGGUCCACUAUGUGUAAUACAGAAAACUGAGUGGGUCAGGCUUGGGAGCUUGGUGAGCAUAUAGGGUUUUCAACCCACAAAUAAAUAAAUUUAUUAAUUUCAUCACCCAAUAAUAAAUUUAUCAAUGCAAAAUAAAUUUAUUAAUUUUAUCAACCAAUAAUAACCCUGAUUACCCAUUCCCGUUAUCCUCACUUUACGUCCCUAAACACCUAUCACAAGGGACCUAAUCUAAGGAUUUUCAUCGGGGUGACAAUACUGCUUUAGGGGAUUCCUCAACAAUUUUUGUCAAAUAAGGAAACCAUGUGGGGGAUGGAGUAUACCACUAAACACUAAUUCACAAACACAUACUGGUUGCGAGCCUAUUUGCGUUCCACUGGACUGUCUAAAAAAGUCUAUGGUUGUUAGCUAUACUCCAUUAAAUGACUAAAACAACAACAAUAUCGGUAUCUCUCAUCAUUUUAACACACACCAACUAUUACGUCCAUCCAUGUUAUACCCAACAUAUUUGUAGAUAAAAAUACAUAUACAACUUAUGUAACGCCCGUAGAUCCGGGCUAUUCAAUUUAGAGAUAAUAGGGGUCGAAAAUAACUUUUCAGCAAAAGAUUAUUUAGAAUAAAUAAUCUUAACCAAGUUUUAGUAUAUGUUACAAGGUUUCCGUAAAUAUAAAGAGUGCCGAAAUCUGAGCUAUAACGAAGAAGUUAUGACCCGUCGAAGUUUCGCGACGGAACCGACACGACACCGGGAAGUGUAAAUAGUGAAUUUAUGAUAGAGCGACUUUUAUUCUUAGCGAUCUAAAUAAAAUUUGUAGAAAAUAUUAAACCAAGAGUGUCCAUAAAAAGAACGCCCAAAUCAGACUUCGUAUGAGGAACUUAUGAUUUUUCUAAGAUUUGGCAUAGCGAUGCAUGACCCGAAACUCGAAUUUUAGUUUGAGCGGUUUUUGGCUUACGCGACCUAAGUGAGAAUUUAAUAUCUCAUUAAUAGAAACUCAACGACAAAAAGACAGAUGAAAACGGAGUCCACAUGUAAAAGUUAUGAAUUUUACGCGGACAUUUAACAGUAUAAUCACCUCCUACUGUUAAAUUUAAGAUCGGUCGAUAAUUAGCCGACAAAGUAAAAAGGAAAGUUUUAGAUUUUAUUUUUACCUACAUGUGGAUAUAAAUAACAUCAAAAACGAAGCUUGUAUGCGAAAGUUAUGGACGAAGCUUAGUCUCUACUUUUUGAGCGCGACAAAUUCGAUAUAGUUUUGUAAAUCAAAGAUAGAUUGAGAAUUUGCCAACAAGGUCUAAAUGAAAGUUGUACUAAUCGUAAAUACCAACAUGUGGAUAUAAAUAUCAACAAAAACGGAGAUUGUAUGCGAAAGUUAUGGAUGAAGCUUAGUCUCUACUUUUCGAGCGCGAUGAAUUCGAUACAGUUUUUGUAAAUAUGAGAUAGAAGGAGAAUUAGCCGACGGGGUCUAAAUUAAAGUUGUAGUACUCGUAAAUACCAAUGCGUGUGUAUAAAGAACGUAGAAAACGGAGCUCGUACGCAAAAGAUACGGACGAUGCUUGGAGACUACUUUACUAUAAAAUUCCUAUAAAUAAGAGAUGAACUCUUCAUAAUUUCUUCACACCAUAAGCCUCUCUUUCUCUCUCUAACUUCUCUCUAGCCUCCCUAAACCCCUCCGAAGUCUAGGGAACCUCCCUAACACGAGAAGAAAGCCCCGGAGCGCCCGACGGCUCCGAGAAGAAAAGCUUUCGGCUCGAAAACGCUGCUCCAGCGAAGCCCCGGUUUUAAUAAAAACACUUUGUAAGUGAGGUACACCUAUACUAUAUUUAAUAUACCUUUUAUUUAAUUAUAGUAAAAUUAUUAGGACCUUAAAAUAAUUAUGUGGGCUAUUAUUAUUAUGAGUUAUAUUGAGUGUUAUUUAACGCUUAUAUAAUAGUAAUAACGGCUAGACUGUUAAUUAGUCGCGGUUAACGUUAAAACUAAACCCUAGUGGUAUUGAUACUAGGUUUUGUCAAGGAAAAUUGUUUUGAGAUAACGAAGCGCUGUCUGAGAUCGGAAUCACCACCGUAUCAAGUGAGUGCAUAGUUACUUUCCUCUUACACAUAGAUAAGAAGUAUUUUAUAUAAACUAUGUGCUACGUGUGAAUAGUAUCUGUAUAAUUGCUAUCUAUGCUGGGUGAACGAUUUUAUACAUGUUUUAAAUGAUUUAAACUGUAUAUGUAUUUUAUAUCUACGAUAAUGUUGGUGUAAAACAUGGGUAGAUGUAAUAGGUGGAGUAUGAGUUGUAUGAUGAGUUGAGAGGUGAAAUAAACCGAGAGGUGAGGGUGAGAGGUGGACGAUGUGAGAAGCCUUUUUCCCAAUUGAUGGCCCAGUCAUUCAGCAGAGUAUGGAUGACAACCACAGACUAUUCUAGACAGUCCAGUGGAACACUAUUAGGCUCACAACGUGUAGGAGUUGUGAACGAUGUGUUCACCGGUGUACUCUAAAAACCCAUUGACAUGUAUUGUGAGUGGAUACUGUCGAUAAACGAAAUAGCCCUGGCAGCUAUGGAUUUAGUGCUUUUUGAGUAAACCCUGACAACGAUGGAUUUCUUGCCGAUUCCUUAGGAUGAUCCUUAGGAAUGAAUUAACGAUGAGUAGCUGAUUCUUAGGGUAGACCCUUAAGAGUAAAGAAGAUAAUGGGGAUGGGUAAUUGGGUUAACUGUUUGACGAUUAAACAUAAUAAUUAUAUUAUUGUGGGUUGAAAACGUUAUGUACUCACCAGGUUUCCCAACCUGACCCACUCAGUUUAUUUAUAUCACAGGUGUUGAUAUGAAGUCACAUUACACUGAGAGAUUAAGGAGAUAUAGAUCACUAGUGAUAAUGAAUGUAAGUUCUAUUUAUGCUUAUGUUUCUGUAUUGACAAUGACAUCCCAAAUGUUUUAAAAUGAAUAAAAAUACUUUUCUUCGGAAAUGCUUUGAUAACGUAUUUAUCAUGUUUUAUUGGGAACAAAUUCCGCAACAUUUUGAUUAAAAGAGAUACUCUAAUUUUUAUAAAGCAUAAACAUAAUCGGUCUUUUCUGGCCGUGAAAAUGGGGAUGUCACAGUUGGUAUCAGAGCAUUAGUUUAAGUGAACUAGGAAUAUGGAUUUAUUUCUAGACUUAAACUUAGAAUUCUAAGCAAUGAUUGUGAGGAGUGUGUCUUAGGUAAUACACUUGAAUAGACACAAGCACUAGCUUAUUUUGGGAAAAUGUCUAACAUGCUUUGAUGUGCUAAAUGAUUUAUGGUACUUUAUGAUGCUAAAUGUAUAAUCGAAUCUAUGGUAUGUUUCCGACUGGAUCUGGAAACUUUAUGUGUUCAGAUUUCUAAACAUUUAAUUACGGUAUUAGAAUUGGCAUGUAACUUUUCAGAGUAAUAGGGAGAUUUACACGUUGAUCGUAAAUAAAAUCUUUCCUAUAUUAAUUCUCGUCACUACACACCGAACAUCCGACUUGGUGUAUAGAUCGACAUGGUGAGCACUCGAAGAGGAAUUAGAAGUGGAAACUCACAGCCCAAACCACAAGUGAUUGAGCAUGCACCAGAAGUAACAGUUGCACCUGGGCCAAUCACGAUGGUAGGGGUACAGGCAAUGGUGCGGAUAAUGCUGGAUCAAUAGCUGGAAGAAACAAGGCGUUUACUUCAACAAAGUAAAAACGAACUUAAUGUGCCAGUACGCCAGGCACCUACUCUUGAGGUAGCCAUCAGGGUUAAGAUUGGCAAGAAGAGGAAGUUUGAGGGAUCUUCAUGGUCCAACUGGAAAAGCUUAUUCUCACAGUCUGGAGAAGGAAGAGGUGAAGCAAAAUGGUGUAACAGGAGAUGCCCUAAGGAAGUGACCUGCUUUAAAUGCGGGAAUAUUGGUCAUUAUGCCUAUAAAUGCUCAACCAAGGAGGAAGUUUGCCUUAAGUUUAGUGGAAAGGGACACUUCAAGAGAGAUUGUUUGAUAAGGACUACAACGCCAAAUGUACCGCUAAAGCACUGCGAGGGAUGCGACGAAGAAGUAACUUGCUAUAGGUGUGGAAGAAUCAGUCACUAUUCCAAGGAUUGUACACAUAGGGAUAAAGUCUGUUACAGAUGCAGAGACAAGGGGCACAUGUCUAGGGACUGCUCGAAGACAAAUGAAGCAGCGAGACUGAAUGUGCCGCCAAAGCCGAAGGAAAGAGAAUUCCAGAGGAUCCUUGGCGAAGCUAGUGACAAUGGAAGGUUUCAGGAGUGAAGGCUUGAUAUCCAAAGAUCGAGUUAUGAAGUAGGCAUAGUAUCGUAGGGGUAGCCUAUUAGAGGCAUAGUCUAGGAUGAACUUGAACACCUAUGUAAUUGUUUCAAGAAAUAAUAUAAAGCCUUCCUUUUAUUAUCCGGUGUGUUAAGCUGUUAUGUGAUCUUCUUGCAUGGUGACUUGGAACACUACGAGACAAAACUUGGAACGAGUAUCAGUAGGUGUGAAAGGUAGUAGAUGCAUAUACUACCGGAAGCACAAGACUCACGUUUGGAUCAGGGAAAGUCACAAGGUUACCAAGAAGCUAGUAGUUGAUACCCUUUUGUUCAACUAUGUCGUUACCAUCAUUUCGGUAAUGACUAAGAAGAUUGUUGUUAUUUCGACCCUAGUGGUCAUAUGAAAUUGAGUCUGACUAUGAUGAGCAUGUUACGUCAUUCAGAGAACCAAGUUCGAUGUAGCAUCUGACUUAACCCAGAAGAUUGAAGUGAGAGAUAAUCAAAGCGAUUAAUAGAAGUAUCACGAUCGUUGUUAAAGAAGUUAGUAGCUAGAAAUGCUACAUGUUAAAAUGUGAUUCUAUCACAUUAGAAAAGGAAGCAAGGUAUAUUCCAUUAUGAAAUUUGACUCUAAGAGACCUGAGUCUAAGCGUUGUGACACACGAUGAGAGGUCAUUGGAACGUGAUCCAUCAACCUAUUUUGGAAACCAAACAACUUAUCCUAAGAUUGUUACGAGGAACAAGCAGUCUCCAGUCAAGAUUGAGAUUAUGACUUGAAGGUCAUAACUGGGAGUCCAACGUGAGAUAGGGAGCGGGUCCAAGAUCGGGCACCGCCUGUAGUCACGAAAUAUUCGAGUUAGAUACUCGUUUGAAGAAACAUCAAAGUUACAGUUAUUACUUAGGAUGAAGAGAUAAUGUAUUGAGUCAUCAUGUGAGCCAUGUUUCUUUAAUGAUUCUGGGACAUAAUCAUCCUAAGGGGGAGAUAAUUGUAACGCCCAUAGAUCUGGGCUAGUCAAUUUAGAGAUAAUAGGGGUCGAAAACGACUUUUUGGAAAAAUAUUAUUUAGAAUAAGUAAUCUUAACCAAGUUUUAGUAUAUGUUACAAGGUUUCCGUACAUAUAAAGGUCGCCGAAAUCUGAGUUAUAACGAAGAAGUUAUGACCCGUCGAAGUUUCGUGACGGAACCGACACGACACUGGGAAGUGUAAAUAUUGAAAAUACGAUAGAGCGACUUUUAGCCUUAGAGAUCUAAACAAAAGUCGUAGAAAAUAUUAAAUCGAGAGUGUCCAUAAAAAGAACGCCCAAAUCUGACUUCGUAUGAGGAACUUAUGAUUUUUCUAAGAUUUGGCAUAGCGGUGCAUGGCUAGAAGCUCGAAUUUUAGUUUGAGCGGUUAUUGGCUUAUACGACCUAAAUGAGAAUUUAAUAUCUUAUUAAUAGGAACUCAACGACAAAAAGUCAAACGAAAACGAAGUUUAUAUGUAAAAGUUAUGAAUUUUACGCGGGCAUUUAACAGUGUAAUCACCUCCUACUAUUAAAGUUAAGAUCGGUCGAGAAUUAGCCGACGGAGUGAAAAGGAAAGUUUUAGAUUUUAUUUUUACCUAUGUGUGGAUAUAAAUAACGUCGAAAACGAAGCUCGUAUGCGAAAGUUAUGGACGAAGCUUAGUCUUUACUUUUCGAGCGCGACAAAUUCGAUACAGUUUUGUAAAUCCGAGAUAGAUUGAGAACUAGCCAACGAGGUGUAAAUGAAAGUUUUAGUACUCAUAAAUACCAACGAGUGGAUAUAAAUAUCAACAAAACCGGAGAUCGUAUGCGAAAGUUAUGGAUGAAGCUUAGUCUUUACUUUUCGAGCGCGGCAAAUUCGAUAGAGUUUUUGUAAAUAUGAGAUAGAAGGAGAAUUAGCCGACGGGGUCUAAAUAAAGUUGUAGUACUCGUAAAUACCAAUGCUUGUAUAUAAAGAACAUAGAAAACGGAGCUCGUACGCGAAAGAUACGGACGAUGCUUGGAGACUACUUUACUAUAAAAUUCCUAUGAAUAAGAGAUGAACUCUUCAAAAUUUCUUCACACCAUAAGCCUCUCUUUCUCUCUCUAACUUCUCUCUAGCCUCCCUAAACCCCUACGAAGUCGAGGGAACGUCCCUAGCAUGAGAAAAAAGCCCCGGAGCGCCCAACGGCUCCGAGAAGAAAAGCUUUCGGCUCGGAAACGCUGCUCCAGCGAAGCCCGAUUUUUAAUAAAAACACGUUGUAAGUGAGCUACAGCUAUACUAUAUUUAAUAUACCUUUUAUUUAAUUAUAGUAAAAUUAUUAGGACCUUAAAAUAAUUAUGUGGGCUAUUAUUAUGAGUUAUAUUGAGUGUUAUUUAACGCUUAUAUAAUAGUAAUAACAGCUAGACUGUUAAUUAAUCGCGGUUAACGUUAAAACUAAACCCUAGUGGUAUUGAUACUAGGUUUUGUCGUGGAAAAUUGUUUUGAGAUAACGAAGCGCUGUCUGAGUUCGGAAUCACCACCGUAUCAAGUGAGUGCAUAGUUACUUUCAUCUUACACAUAGAUAAGAAGUGUUUUAUAUAAACUACGUGCUACGUGUGAAUAGUAUAUGUAUAAUUGCUAUCUAUGCUGGGUGAACGAUUUUAUACAUGUUUUAAAUGAUUUAAACUGUAUAUGUAUUUUAUAUCUAUGAUAAUGUUGGGGUAAAACAUGGGUAGAUGUAAUAGAUGGAGUAUGAGUUGUAUGAUGAGUUUAGAGGUGAAAUAAACCGAGAGGUGAGGGUGAAGGGUGGACGAUGUGAGAAGCCUUUUUCCUAAAUGAUGGCCCAGUCAUUCAGCAGAGUAAGGAUGACAACCACGGACUAUUCUAGACAGUCCAGUGGAAAACUAGUAGGCUCGCAACGUGUAGGUGUUGUGAACGAUGUGUUCACCGGUGUACUCUAAAAACCCAUUGACAUGUAUUGCGAGUGGAUAUUGUCGAUAAACGAAAUAGCCCUGGCAGCUAUGGAUUUAGUGCCUGUUGAGUAAACCCUGGCAACGAUGAAUUUCUUGCCGAUUCCUUAGGAUGAUCCUUAGGAAUGAAUUAACGAUGAGUAGCUGAUUCUUAAGGUAGACCCUUAAGAGUAAAGAAGAUAAUGGGGAUGGGUAAUUGGGUUAACUGUUUGACGAUUAAACAUAAUAAUUAUAUCAUUGUGGGUUGAAAACCCUAUGUACUCACCAAUUUUCGCAACCUAACCCACUUAGUUUAUUUAUAUCACAGGUGUUGAUAUGAAGUCACAUUACACUGAGAGAUUAAGGAGAUAUAGAUCACUAGUGAUAAUGAAUGUAAGUUCUGUUUAUGCUUAUGUUUCUGUAUUGACAAUGACAUCCCAAAUAUUUUAAAAUGAAUAAAAUUACUUUUCUUCGGAAAUGCUUUGAUAACGUAUUUAUCAUGUUCUACUGGGAACAAAUUCCGCAACAUUUUGAUUAAAAGAGAUACUCUGAUUUUUAUAAAGCAUAAACAUAAUCGGUCUUUUCUGGCCGUGAAAAUGAGGAUGUCACAACUUAAAUCAUAUUAAAACCUGUAUAAAAGUUUCAUUCAACACCCAUCUCAAAUAAAGAAAUAAUAUAAUUACACAUAGCACGUAUUUUAUAUAAAAUAGUUCAUAUCUACGUGUAAGGUGAAAGUGACCACACACUCACAUGAUAAGACGAUAAUCGGGCAUCACCUCGUCUCUUAAAAUAAUAUUCUUCGAUAAAACCAGGGUGUUUUUUCAAAAACGGGCUUCACACGGGCAGAGUUUUGGCCCGAAAACUCUUUUUCUCGGGAUCAUCGGGGCUCUCGAGCUUGCUCCGGUUGUUAGGAUGAUACACUAGGCUUCGGUGGUAUUUCUUGCAAAGUAGAAGAGAGUUUAGGGGUGAAACAUGUUAAAGAAGUAAACAAAAACCCGAAUGACAUCAAGUCCUAUUUAUUGGGGCAGUAACAUCGAUUUAAGUUGGGCGUAAAUUUAGAGUAGGCUGGGUGUACUGCGAAUUUCCAAACUUCUAAAAUUUGUAACUUUUGCAUACGAACUCCAUUUUUGACGUUCUUUAUAUCCACGCUUAAGUGAGACUACGCUUUACAACUUUUGUUAAGACUCCGUCGGGUAAUUUUGAAUUUAUUAUUAAAGUUAUAUUUUUAACAGGUCGGGAUAGGAAAAGUCCGUUAAAAUUUCAUAACUUCUUCAUCCGACAUUCGUCUUCGUCUAUCUUUUUACCGUUAAAAUAAAAUCAACAAGAUCUUUGAUUCUCGUUUAGAUUGUCUCGGCUAAAAAUCUUUCGAUCUAAAUUUCGAGUUUUGGGUUGCAUACUAAUAAGUCAAAACUUCGAAAAAUUAUAACUUCCUCAUACAAAGUCAGAUUUAGACAUUCUUUUGAUGCACACACUUGGUUUAACGAAUACUACGACUUUUGUUUAUAUCACUAAUGUUAAAAAGCACUUUAUCGUAAAUUCACUUUUUACGUCACAUAGCGUUGUGCCGGUUCUAUCUCGAAACUUCGACAUGUCAUAACUUCUUCGUUAUAACUUGGAUUUCAGUAUUCUUUAUAUCUCUAGAAUCCUUAUUUCAACCACUACAACUUUCUUCAUAGGUAUUGGGUUUAUCUAAUGUUUAUUUCUGACGCUUAUUUUUAUUCUUAACUCAUUAAAUCAUAAUAAUUAAGUAAACAAGCACAAAAUUCACAUAAUUCCUAUUUAUUAUUUCAAAACGAGUUACAAAGGAUAACCUGCUCUAUUACAUCAUCUUUAGUGCUUAGCCCAGAAACACAGGUGUUACAUACGCUAAGCGUACACCUGUUGGGGCUAGUACAUGCCGCAUACCAGGUGGGUACGCCCAACGUACUCCUCUGAGGUCCAACCCUCUCUAAAUAAGAACUUAAUCACUUCAGCCCUUGCUCCAACUCUCAAGCCUAACUUCUAUAGGUGGCUUGUCAAAUAAAGUUGGCAACGUUACUAACAUGCAUGGCUUAAUGGGACUCUAGAGCUUAAAAGUGCUUAAUUAAUGAUCUUAACUCAUGAAUGGACUCAAACACUUCACAAAUCUUGCACCUUUAUGAGAGAAGGGACCUUAGAAUGUCUAGAUCUACAAGUUUGAGUCCUAAAACGAACUUAGCCCACCAAGACCAAGAAAAAGGCUAAAAGUGGCCAAAAACCAACCCAAAAGAGGAUCUAUGAUAUGGAAGGUCAAGAUCAGAGCUUUUUACCUCCAAUAGGUUGCAAAAUACGAGAACUUUCUGGAUCUACAAGGUCCCUUCCAUGAUCAACACUUGAACACCACCUUCCUCCUCUUGUACGCAUGCUAAUAAGUCUUCUUUUAAGCUCCAAGCUCCCUCCAAGAAAAUCUAGGGUUUCAUGGGCGUGAAAAGGGGUGGUCGGUGACUUGAAAUGACCUAAGGAGUGAUAUAAUGUUGCUUAUAUAGGAUACAAGUUAGGGAAAUUAUGGUUUUGGUCUGGAAGGAGUACGCCCCGCAUACCGCUUUGUACGCCCGACGUAGUCAAGAACCACCCUCGAUCAUUUACUCUUAUAUGUUGGGCAUACCCAGCUAAUCAUGCGCAUGAAAAUCCUUGCAUGCAUGGGACUGAUCCACCAUAUCUUUUCAUUAGAGGCCAAUUCUGCCCAAACCUUCAAAGUGUCCAAACUCACUCGCCCUAUAUCCGUUUCUGUCGAACUUUAUAUCCACAAAAAGGUGGCGGGAAGCUCUACGCUCCUAGCCACACUCUUGAGCCUUAAAUCCUUCUGAUUAUAACCCAAAAGUUUUUAAAGGCUGAGAUAUCAGUUUACAGUCAUACCCUUGGCUUCCGAAGACAUAAUUGAAUAUAUGGUUCACUUAGACUCUAGCAACUACAUCCGAUAUGAGCUAUAUCCAUCCUUAACCACAUCCCCUAACCCCUAUGUCAACUAAUGACUGGGCCACAACAUCUAGCAACGAAGCAAUCCGGAAGCAGAUGUUACAACUCUCCCCUACGUAAAUUAGAUUUUGUCCUUGAAAUCGCUCCUUACCGAUAUUCAUAACCAAUACUACUAACCCAAGGAACACUGUCACACCCCGAAACCGAUGGCAGAAACGUUCCGAGGCGGAGGACGUCAUGUAAAGUAUCACAACCAAUGUACAUAGUAAGCAUAGUGAACACAAAACAUUACAUUACAUAGAAUCAUUACAUUUGUUUGAAAGUAAGGUGAUACAGGUUUUAUAGAUACAUUAGUUUAAACAAAACUAAAGACGUGACUUCCAUAUGCUCCAUCUUCUGCAAAAGAACGCGGGAUACUUGUCUAAGGAGAACCUGAGAAUACAAGCAGUUUUAAAAAUAUCAGCAUAAAGCUGGUGAGUUCAUAAGCGGUUUGUUUCUGGUAAAAGAAUAAGUUUUCUUUGGUUUUCUGAAAAAGUUGAUAUCCAAUAAAAUCCCAUAUUUUCUUAUAAGUAAAGUUUAGCUAUCCAUUUCUUACACAAUUUGGUUAAGAACAGUUUGUUAUCCGGUUAUUACACAAUCUGGUUAAGAACAAGUUCAGUUAUCCCAGGAAAAACCCUUAUUUUCCUUAAAAGUUUGUGGUUGGUUAUUGAAUCUGAAUGAAGUGUACAUGAAUCUACCAUACUUCUAGUGUUUGUAUGAAGUUUCCUGAAAUCCUGGUUAUCCUUGAAAGGUACGUUAGUUUUAACACGUAUAUAAAACUAUCAAUUAAAUAGUAAACUAAUUUCUAAGGUUAUUAAUUUACUAAGUUCUUUAUUACUUAAAAGUAAAUCUCUGUUAUCUAAGUUUGCGAGGUCUAUAACCAUACGAUAAACUAGAUAUGGAAAGGAAGGCUAGUAUCAUUUAUGACUUUUGUGACCCGUAGAGCUGCCGGUCCCACUGUAGCUAGCAGCAAGGUGCGGGGUAGUCAGCCCCGUAUAGAUCUAUACACUCAAUUCACGCUCUCCAACUAAGAGAUUCUGGUUAUAGGGGCGGUCCUCUACUCCCCUAUCUUUGUGGAGUGUGACAGAGGACGUGUCUCCAACCCUAAGAUUAAUGAAUUUACAAGUAAUAAUGCAGAAAAUCCUGUUUUAAGUUCUAGUUACAAAGGUGGUCCUCCACUCGCGUAUCUCUGUGGAGUGUUACAGAGGACAUCUAAAGUUCUAAAAUUAAUGAUUUUUAACAGGAAUGAAAUGGAAAAUCAUUUGUGAAAUGUACAAUAUAACACUAUAUAAUAAGAUUUACAAUCAGUUUGAAAACUAACUCUGCAAGUCAAACGAUUGGUUAAUACGGUUUCCAGUGUUAAAAGUAUACGGAGUAUGAAACAUUUCAAAUAAAAUAAUAAGUUUGAGUACAAGAUAUUCUUGUACUUUUGCUUGUAUUCCCCAUUGAACACAUUGAAAACACAGAAAAAGUGUAGGAGUAUGAACUCACCGGACGAGAAAUGUGUCGGUUGGAUGCUAAGUGUCAGUUCGGGGCUUGAGUACGCACGAGGUUCCUAUGUAAUAUGAAGAAAUACAUAAUUGUGUCUAAUUGGACUUUGAACUAGUAAUUAGAUAAGAUAGUACACUCCGAGGCGCAAAAAGACUUCGUUUCAAGUGUUAGGAGUGAUCCGGGUAGCAUCUAAGGGUGUGUAUGACCUAAAUAUGGAGUUUGCUCUUCAAGAGUAAACUCCUAAUGGAGAUUAUGGCCCUAAGACCAUAUCCCCAUGAGUUUAAGGCCGUAAACUCAUGCGUGGUGUGGUCUUGGUUGCUUAAUUGUCUUACAACACUUGUGGGAUGAUGUUAGGUUCAGUUCUAAGGCAUUGGAAGGAAUUAAACCAUCAAAGGGACCAUUGCAAGGAGUUUACGGCUAUAAACUAGGAUUUUACAGCCGUAAAAUCUCAUAUACCCUUUCCUUAUGUGUUUUGGUGUCCCUAGGUUAAGCACAAGUGUUUUUAGUCCAAACUACAAGCCAUGGAAGGAUGUUAGGGCACCAUUUGACCACUAUAAAAGAGUUUACAGCCCAGGAACCAUUCUUUGGGGGGUUUACGGCCGUAAUCUCCUAAGGGGGUGGUUUCUCUCAUGUUUAAGGUCCCUAACACAAAGGUGGUUGAUUCUAGACAUUGUUCCAAGGCUUAGGUGGUGCUUAGGGGCAUCUUAACACCUUAAAAGGUGUUUGCGGCCUUAGAAUGGGGGUUUACGGUCCAAGCAUGUUCUUGGGCCGUAAACUCAUGUUUACCCCUCAAGUGUUAAGGUUUUGGUGUUCCAAGUCCAUUCAUGUAAGCCCCUAAGUCAUAUCUAAGCUCCAGAAGUGGUUUGGAAGGGUUUUGGGGCUUCAAAAACACCUUUAAGGGAGUUCACGGUUUUGGGAGGUGUUCCCAAUCCGUAUACACUUGUUCUUUAUGGUUUUAGAUGGUUUAAACACAGAUUUACAUGCUUAACAAGUUAAACAAGAAAGUAGGGUAGAUUACUUACGAUUUUGGGAGCUUGAAGAGGCGUUUUUGGAUCAAACUCGAGUUUUAGAGAGAGAGUAGAGAGAGAAAGUUAUGAGGGUGGGUAAAAAGCUUAAAUGAAUGUCACUCAUCCUUUAUAUAAGGCUUGAGUUUGUGGCCCGGUGGAAAUCUACCCGAUACCGACGUUAAACGAGGUUUAUGGUCAUACCCGAUUUAAUUGUCGUAACCCGACUUAGUCGUAACUAAAAAUUUUCCAAUUAAAUAACGAGGGUAUUUUCACGCAUUUCUAAUGGGUUUAGACACUCAUGAGGUCACAAUAAAAAUCUUAAUUUAAAUGACCUAAUCCAAAAUGUUAAAGGAAAAAUUGAAAUACAAACGGUUUUAUUGACGGAAAUGGGUUACCGUGACGGAAUAAAUUAUGGGUUGUCACAUUAUCCCCCUGCUAGAGGGAAUUUCGUCCCGAAAUUUAGAAUUAAGAUACAAAUCAUAUAAUUUGAUAGAGAUGCGGAUAUUUUUAUUUCAUCGAGUCUUAGACUUCCCAAAUGAACUCGGGUCCUCGCUUGGCAUUCCAGCGAACCUUCACUAUUAGGAUAUGGCGUUGUUUCGUACGUUUAAUCUCUCGAUCCAUGAUUUCGAUUGGUUCUUCCAUUGAGUUCAGAAUUUCGUUGAUCUCGGUCUCAUCAAAAGGGAUUACUAGGGUUUCAUCGGAUAGACACUUUUUAAGAUUAUAGAUGUGGAAGACAGGAUGGAUGUUGCUUAGUUCUGAAGGUAGUCGGAGUUUGUAGGCUACGGGAUUGAUCCUAGCGAGGAUCUCGAAAGGUCCUAUGUAUCUCUGGUUAAGUUUUCCACGCUUUGCAAAGUGUAUAAUCCCUUUCCAGGGCGAGACCUUCAACAGGACACAGUCUCCAACCUGGAAUUCCAAGGGUUUCCAUCAUUUAUCAGCGUAACUCUUUUGUCUCGUGAAGCUUUUAGUCGUUCUCGAAUCUGGAUGAUCUUCUCGGUGGUUUCGCGGAUGAUUUUAGUACCAGUGAGAGCGCUGUCAGGGAUUUGACUCUUGGCUAGCUGUGUGUCCCCUACCUCGGCCCAGCACAGAGGGGAUCUGCACUUGUGACCGUAGAGGGCUUCGAACUGGGCAGCCUUGAUGCUGAUGUGGUAGCUGUUGUUAUACGAGAACUCGAUCAAGGGUAAAUGGGUGUCCCACGACUUUCCGAAAUCAAUGACACAUGCUUUCAUCAUGUCUUCCUAGGUCUGGAUAGUUCUCUCACUCUGGCCGUCCGUCUGAGGAUGAUAAGCUGUACUGAUAUCCAACUUAGUUCCAAGCGCCUUCUAAAGGGACUACCAAAACCUUGAGGUAAACCUGCUCUCUCGAUUGGAGAUAAUGGAUAUAGGCACACCAUGCAAUCGGUCUAUCUCUUGGAUGUAGAUUCGCGUGAGUCUAUCCAUCUUGAAUGAUUCUUUAAUCGGAAGGAAGUGAGCGGAUUUUGUCAAACGAUCGACAUUUAUCCAAAUGGUAUCGUACUCACUUGGAGAUCUGGGUAACUUGGUGAUGAAAUCCAUGGUAAUCAUCUCCCAUUUCCAUUUAGGUAUCUCGGGCUGCUGGAGCAGACCCGAGGGCUUCUAAUACUCGACCUUUACCUUGGUGCAAGUCAGACACUUGCCCACGAAGGUAGCGAUUUCGACUUUCACGUUUGGCCACCAGUAUUGUUUCUGGAGAUCCAGGUACAUCUUAUCCGAACCUAGGUGAACACAGUAUCUGGUCUUGUGAGCUUCGUUCAUAACAACUUCCCUGAAACCUCCGAAACUUUUGGGUCCAUAUUCGAUCCAUGAAACAGUAGACUCCGUCACCUCUGAUCUCAAGUUUCUUAUCUAUUCCUCUCAAGGCUUCGUUCAACACGUUCUCUAGUUUUAGGGCUUCCAACUGGGCUUCUCGGAUCUGUGCGGAUAAAUGAGAAUGGAUGGUCAUCGUCAAUGUCUUCGCCUUGUUACUUGAGCUUUCCUUUCGGCUAAGGGCAUCUGCUACCACAUUGGCCUUGUCGGGUUGGUCAGUGAAGAUCGUGCACUUAGUUCCGUAGAGGUAAUGUCUCCAAAUCUUCAGUGCGAAGACCACUGCUCCAAGUUCCAAGUUGUGAGUUGUGUAGUUAAAUUCGUGUGCCUUUAGUUGUCUUGAGGCAUAAGUGAUAACUUUUCCUCUCAGCCUAAGCACACAGCCUAAGCCCUGAUUAGACACAUCGCAGUAGACAACGAAAUCCCCUGUCCCUUCAGGCAAGGACAGAAUAGGCGCGCUGCACAAGGCUCACUUCAAUGUUUGAAAUGUUGUUUCUUGUUUCUCAUUCCAACAAAAGGGUACACCUUUCUGUGUCAAAGUAGUUAGGGGUUUGGCGAUUUUGGAAAAAUUCUUGAUGAACCUGCGAUAGUAGCCAGCGAGACCCAAGAAUUAACGGAUUUCUAUGGGUGUCUUCGGUGCCAACCAAUUCUCUAUCGCCUUGAUUUUGGACGGGUCCAUGUGUAUACCCUCCUCGCUUACCACGUGACCAAGGAAAGAUAGCUUCCGAAUCCAGAAUUCGCACUUGGAGAAUUUCACAUACAGCUUCUCCGUUCUAAGAGUUUCCAACACUAACCUCAAGUGUUGUUUGUGAUCUUCUUCGCUUCGGGAAUAGACAAGUAUGUCGUCAAUGAACACGACGACGAACUUGUCCAAAAAGGGGCGACACACCUGGUUCAUCAGGUCCAUGAACACGGCCGAUGCAUUGGUUAGACCGAAUGGCAUCACUACGAACUCAUAGUGACCAUAACGAGUCCUGAAUGCUGUCUUGGAAACAUCAUUCUCGUGAACUCGAAGCUGAUGGUACCCUGAUCUGAGGUCUAUCUUCGAGAAGUAACUGGCUUCUUGAAGUUGAUCGAAGAGGUCGUCUAUUCGAGGAAGAGGAUAACAGUUUUUGACGGUUAAUUUAUUCAACUCGCGGUAGUCUAUGCACAUCUGAAAGGAUCCAUCUUUCUUCUUCAGAAAUAAUACCGGGGCUCCCCAGGGUGAGGAACUCGGUUUGAUGAACCCUUUGUCUAGUAGCCCAUUGAGCUAACUGGAUAACUCCUGCAUUUAUGUUGGAGCUAAGCGAUACGGAGAUUUGGCUACAGGAUUAGCUCCAGGAAUCAGAUCGACGCGAAACUCGACGUAACGUUCUGGAGGAAUUCCCGGGAGCUCUUCAGGAAAGACAUCAGGAAAGUUGCAGACUUCGGGGAUGCUCUCUAGGUCUUUAACUUCCUGUUUCUCGUUGAUUACAUGAGCUAGGAAUGCGUAACACUCCUUUCACAGAAGCUUUUGAGCUUUGAUGCAGGAAAUGAUGCGAAGAUUGGAACUAAGUUUGUCGCCGUAGAUCAUGAGAGUCUGGCCAGAGGGGAGCUUGAGACGGAUGGCUUAUUCGUAACAAAGGAUAUCAGCAUGAGUGGGACUCAACCAAUCCAUGCUAAUGAUAACAUCAAAGCUCUUAAUGGAAACUGGCAUCAAGUCGAUGGGAAAGGAAUGAUCGUGCAGGGUAAGGGUACAGCCUAUGAAUAUAUAUAUCCUUGGCGUUUUCUUUCUCACCGUUAGCCAUCUCGACGGUAAAUGUUUAGGUUACUAGAUGAGGACUAUGUUUAAGAAGAUGUUUGAAUGACUGGCUAAUCAAAUUUCUUUAGCACUAGAAUCGAAAAGGAUGCGAGCAUAAGAAUUAUCGAGAAGGAACGUACCCAUGACGACGGUGGGAUUGGCGACUGCCUCCUCCUGCUUUAUAGUCAGAACGAUCCUGGCGUUGUAGGUGGUUGUUGCUCUUGGGAAGUUUCUCUUGAAAUGCCCGAUUUCACCGCACCCAUAGCAGGCCUGAUCGAUACCUGCUCUGGAAGUUUGAUUGAUUGGUUGAGUUGGUGUUCUGCAGUUUCGCGUAAGGUGACCCUUCUUGCCAUAACUGAUGCAGAUUAUCUCACGGCAUGGGCCAGGGAUACGAUGGUGGUAAUUGCACCUGUUGCACCAAGGGAGGUUUCCAGCAUACCUAUUGGUAGGUGCUUGAGCUGUAGACGCAGCGACAGGAGUAGUAGCAGCUUGGACUGCCACUGAUUUAUGUUUCUUGGAGGGUCCUUGUGAACUCUGACCCUUUCGCUUUUUCCAGAAAAUAUCCUUACUCUAAUCAAACUCAUUCUGGUGCCCCUGACCAUCUUCAUGGUUUUGGGGAUAGGUGUUACUUCCUGGUCUACUGGACCUGCUAAGCUUCAAGUGCGCCAUUGCAGACGUCACUGCAGCAGUAACAACUGCCUGAAAUAGGACAGGGUCGAAUUAAGAAGGAGGCGGUGGCGGAGGGUUGUUGUUCCUUUAGCUGGGUUCUUUCUUUGGAGGCAUAUUGAUCUAAAAUUAUUAGGAAAAAGAGGAUGGUAAGUCCUCAUAAUUGAAUAAUGAGAUAUGAAACAAAAGAUAUCUCAUUAUGACAGAUAAAGUGUUUUACUAAGCGAUAAUAUGUUGGAAAACUACCAAAACAAGGGAAUUUUUCGCUAAGGAAAGAAUGAGUAGCAACACUUGGAAUGAAUUUCUACAACGUAUUCGACUUUUUCUAAAUACUUCUAUAGUAUUUUAUGGUUUGUUGCGAUGACGACUCAUUGUUUGGAUAUUUGGUAAGUUUUAGGCAUGUUGCACACCACAGUGACUCCCAAAAACAUGUUGGUCGUGUCUCGAAUGAAUAUAGUUGAUCAGGCUCUAUUGACCCUAGACACGACUACAUAACUGCCCAGGGUUAACCGCAGUGCAUAACAACCAAUUACUUAUGUUUUGUUCUACUCGAGGUUACGGUAUCUGACGGUUAGGUAUUCUCGUAUACUUUUGAAAAAGACUUAUAUUUUAAAGUAUACUUUUAGUUCAGAGUACUUCGGCCCCUUAGUGUUCAUAGUCUUAUACCAUGUAAGGUUUUAGCUCUGAUACCAAUGUGUCACACCCCGAAACCGAUGGCGGAAACGUUCCGGGGCGGAGAACGUCAUGUAAAGUAUCACAACCAAUGUACAUAGUAAGCAUAGUAAACACAAAACGUUACAUUACAUAGAAUCCUUACAUUUGUUUGAAAGUAAGGUGAUACAUGUUUUAUAGAUACAUUAGUUUAAACAAAAGUAAAGACGUGACUUCCAUAUGCUCCGUUUUCUGCAAAAGAACGCGGGAUACCUGUCUAAGGAGAACCUGAGAAUACAAGCAGUUUUAAAAAUAUCAGCAUAAAGCUGGUAAGUUCAUAAGCGGUUUGUUUCUGGUAAAACAAUAAGUUUUAUUUGGUUUUCUGAAAAAGUUGAUAUCCAAGCAAAUCCCAUAUUUUCUUAUAAGUAAAGUUUAGUUAUCCAUUUGUUACACAAUUUGGUUAAGAACAGUUUGUUAUCCGGUUAUUACACAAUCUGGUUAAGAACAAGUUCAGUUAUCCCAGGAAAAACCCUUAUUUUCCUUAAAAGUUUGUGGUUGGUUAUUGAAUCUGAAUGAAGUGUACAUGAAUCUACCAUACUUCUAGUGUUUGUAUGAAGUUUCCUGAAAUCCUGGUUAUCCUUGAAAGGUACGUUAAUUUUAACACGUAUAUAAAACUAUCAAUUAAAUAGAAAACUAAUUUAUAAGGUUAUUAAUUUACUAAGUUCUUUAUUACUUAAAAGUAAAUCUCUGUUAUCUAAGUUUGCGAGGUCUAUAACCAUACGAUAAACUAGAUAUGGCAAGGAAGGCUAGUAUCAUUUAUGACUUUUGUGACGCGUAGAGCUGCCGGUCCCACUGUAGCUAGCAGCAAGGUGCGGGGUAGUCAGCCCCGUAUAGAUCUAUACACUCAAUUCACGCUCUCCAACUAAGAGAUUCUGGUUAUAGGGGCGGUCCUCUACUCCCCUAUCUUUGUGGAGUGUUACAGAGGACGUGUCUCCAACCCUAAGAUUAACGAAUUUACAAGUAAUAAUGCGGAAAAUCCUGUUUUAAGUUCUAGUUACAAAGGUGGUCCUCCACUCGCGUAUCUCUGUGGAGUGUUACAGAGGACAUCUAAAGUUCUAAAAUUAAUGAUUUUUAAUAGUAAUGAAAUGGAAAAUCAUUUGUGAAAUGUACAAUAUAACACUAUAUAAUAAGAUUUACAAUCAGUUUGAAAACUAACUCUGCAAGUCAAACUAUUGGUUAAUACGGUUUCCAGUGUUAAAAGUAUAUGGAAUAUGAAACAUUUCAAAUAAAAUAAUAAGUCUGAGUACAAGAUAUUCUUGUACUUUUGCUUGUAUUCCUUCCUGAAAACAUUGAAAACACGGAAAAAGUGUAGGGCUAUGAACUCACCGGACGAGAAAUGUGUCGGUUGGAUGCUAAGUGUCAGUUCGGGGCUUGAGUACGCACGAGGUUCCUAUUUAAUAUGAAGAGAUACAUAAUUGUAUCUAAUUAGACUUUGAACUACUAAUUAGAUAAGACAGUACACUCCGAGGCGCGAAAACACUUCGUUUAAAGUGUUAGGAGUGAUCCGGGUGGCAUCUAAGGGUGCGUGUGGCCUAAAUAUGGAGUUUGCUCUUCAAGGGUAAACUCCUAAUGGAGAUUACGGCCCUAAGACCAUAUCCCCAUGAUUUUACGGUCGUAAACUCAUGGGUGGUGUGUUCUUAGUUGCUUAAUGGUCUUACAACACUUGUGGGGUGAUGCUAGGUUCAGUUCUAAGGCAUUGGAAGGAAUCAAACCAUCAAAGGGACCAUUGCAAGGAGUUUACGGCUGUAAACUAGGAUUUUAUGACCGUAAACUCUCAUAUACCCUUUCCUUAUGUAUUUUGGUGUCCCUAGGUUAAGCACAAGUGUUUCUAGUCUACAGUACAAGCAAUGGAAGGAAGUUAGGGCACCAUUUGACCACUAUAAAGGAGUUUACAGCCCAGGAACCAUUCUUUGGGGGGUUUACGGCUAUAAUUGUUGGAUAAGGUGUCUAAGUCCAUAACUAUUUCUGGUAUGUACUUGACCCGACCCGGCAUGGUCCAUUUGGGUUGCAUGGCACCAUGUAAUUGGAUAGACUAAAUGAGAGAAAUAACACUUGGAGAUUAUUAAUAUAUUAUAAGUUCUUAUAUAUUAAUAAUAUUAUUUGAUUAGUUUGAUCAAGAAUUGAUUUAGAAUUAAUUAAGUGAUCAAAAGAUAACUAAUUAAAUAUAUGGGUUGAUUAUGUAAAUCAUCCAUAUCUUGUAUAGUGGGCUAAGAGGCUCCAUGGAUUAUCAAGUUGGGUUCCACCCAUAGGAUACUCCAUGGAUGCUCCAUGGGAGUUACAAACCCAUGGCUCAUGGAAAUGAAGAGUCAUGACACAUUAGGGUUUACAUGGUGUAACCCUAGAUGUGUCAACACUAUAUAAGAAUCCCAUUCUCCACCAAAAUCGGCUACACAUAAGAAACAAGAGGGCUAGGCCGAUUUCAAGAAGUGUGUAUUCUCUCAAAAGUCUUUCCAAGAGCAUUUGGUGUUGUGUGAAGCAUUUGAGGCAUCACACUUGGGGUGCUAGGCUCACAAGGUUUCAAGGAACAUAAGCAACAACAAGGUAAGUUAUUCUAUCUUUCAUUCAAGUUAAAAAUUGUUCCCCAUGUAUGCUAGAUAGGAAUAUAACCUUGGAAUUCAACUUUGCAUGAUAAUUAGACAAACAUAGAUCCAAGGUUAUUAGGGUUGCAUGUACACUUAGGAAGUGUUAGAAUGCUCAAAACCCAUCAGUGGUAUCAGAGCCUAGGCUUGUUUGUUUGUUAUUUGUGCUUAAAAGUUGAAGAAAGUCGAAAAUCUUGCUGUCUGACUGAUGGACUCGGCGAGUCCAUGGGGAGGACUCGUCGAGUUCAUGUGUAUCUUCAACCUACUCGGCGAGUAGGUUUAUGCACUCGGCGAGUAGGGUCGACAGAGUGCAGAUUUUCGACUUUAGUUGCUGGAAAUGGACUAGAAACAUUACCCUAAACUAUUUUGGUACUUGAAAACUUGUUUUAGAUGGUGUAAUGUCUUUGCUAAUUCAUUUACAACAACUGGUUAUCAAAAUUAGAAAGUUUUAAAUGUAAGUUUUGAUUCAUGAAAGUGUUCAUGUUCAAGUUCUUGAUCUUAUGAAGUUUAGAUGAUCAUAGAAAUUAUGUGUAACCUAUGUGGUAGAUUAAUUCAUGAUCAUAAUGUGUUUUAAUGGAGUCCAUAACUUGUCCUCAAGUUAUGGAAAACCAAAAGUCUCUUGGAUUAAAAACCAUUAAAAGAACACAAGAGUUAGGAAAAAUGAAAAGUCCUCAUUUUAUUACUCUAUUAAACUCAUAAGUUACAAGAAAUGAAAAGUUUUGAAAGUUUACAAAACUUGCCCUCAAGUUUUGGAACAAGUAAAGUUAAGUUAAAACUUUAGUUCCAACCCCUAGAAUUUUAAAAGUUAAAAUUCAACCCUUAUACUUAUAUUAUUAUGAUUUAAUAAUUAUAUAUAUAUGUAUAAGAACAAAGUCGUCUUACCGCUAGUACGCCUCAUUCACGAAGCCGGUCUAUAAGGUGGGUAUAAGGUUGUUGCCUAUAAAAUGGUGACUUAAUGGGUGUCCACUCUCACCCACCGCUUGCUUGAUCGGUGGAGGGUCGUUAGCCGAACGGGUAAGACAAGGACUUAUUAAUUCUCAUUCAAAGUAUGAUGAAUAUUAUAAAGUAACUAAAUGUUUUAUUAAAUUCCCAAUCUUAGUUACUUUAGGAAAAAUGUGAAUAAGGUGCUAUUCCAUGAAAUUACACUUUACACUUUGAUUAAGUCGUUGGUGGAGCGUGUGUGGUUAACCGGCACACUAACUUGGACUUAACAAGGUAGGUAAAGGGUGACUUAGGGUUUAUUAUAGUAUCGAUGGAGCGUGUGUGGUUAACCGGCACAUCGAUUGAGUGAUAAACUUUAAGGGUACCAAGUGAUUUGCAUGGUUACUUCACACCUCGUUUUGUGAUCCUCGGUAUCCCAGUCACAAAACUUGGAGGGCACACUCGAGAUUGAAACAUGCCUUUGAAAAGUUCAUUGAAUCUCAAAGAAUCUAGGAAUUUCUAAGAACCAUUCAAAAACCUAAUACUAAAAUAUUGCGGUUUUCGUGGUGGAAAUUGGUGAAUCGUCAUUCACCUACCUUUCAAAUAUGAUAUAGCUUAGAUUACGGCAUACCUCUUCUAAGUUAUAUUAUAUUGUGAUUGGAUCCUAGCCUUAAUAUUACAUUUGGGUGUUUUAUUAAGGACUCUCUUAUAUCUAAACUAAUCUUGUCCUCUUUCCUUCAGAUGUCUUUCAACAAUGCUUCUGGCUCUAAUCCUAAUGGCUCCUUUACCCUUAUGAACUUGUGUGGGAAAGUCACCUUUGAUGGAUCCAACUUCAAUGAGUGGAUCAGAAACAUCAGGAUGAUUACCCGCUACGAGGACAAAGAAUAUGUCCUUGACAAGGAGCUUAAGGAGAUUGAUGAGUCCACUGCAACUCCUCAGGAGAUCGCUGAAUUUCGGGCACAUGAAAGGGAUGCUACGAAAGUGGCUUGCAUCAUGAUGGCCACGAUGACAGCGGAACUCCAAAAGUCUUAUGAGGAUUUCUACCCUUAUGACAUGCACCAAGAUUUGAUGGAAAGAUACCAUCAAAGUGCAAGACAAGAGAGGUAUGAAAUCAUCUGCUCCAUGAUAACAACCAUGAUGAAGGACGGGGAAUCCGUCACGAGCCACAUGCAGAAAAUGCAAAGGUAUGUGGAUCGUUUGCUGAAGCUUAAUGUGAACUUCCCGGAGGAUCUUGCAAUAGAUAUUAUUUUGCAUUCCUUACCAUCGUGCUAUGAUCAAUUCCGCAUGACAUAUCACAUGAACAAGGAAGAAGUCACCCUCAGCAAACUUCAGGGACUUCUCAAGACCGCAGAAACAGGUCUUAAGGGGAAGUCGGUUGCUAUCACUCCUACUCAAAACUCUACUCCGGUUUUGGCAAUCGGGAAAAGUCGAGGGAGGAAGAGAAAGAGCUCUUCUAAGGGUACCAAGGCUCGGACCCUUGAUGGCUCUUCUUCAAGUGGAACCAAGAAAGGUUUCGUUACUCCUUCUUCUGACCCAAAAGAGGCUGAAUGCUUCUAUUGCCAUGAAAAAGCUCAUUGGAAGCGGAACUGCCCAAAAUACCAGCAAGAUGUGAAGGAUGGGAAAGUUAAACCCAACCAUGCAGGUAUUUACACUAUCAUUUCUAAUAACUCACCCCAUUCUAAUUCUUGGGUCCUUGAUACCGGGUGUGGUAUUCACAUUUGUUGUGACUUGCAGGGACUAAGAAGAAGUGAGGAUGUGGAGCAAGGAAGGAUAAACUUGAUCAUGGGGAAUAGGAAAGCUAUACCUGUUACCAAGAUUGGAGUUUAUACUUUAUCGCUAAGUAGUGGGUUUAGUUUAGAUUUGAAUAAGUGUUGUUAUUCGCCAGGAAUGGCAAGAAAUAUUAUUUCCUUUCAUGCUUUGUACAAACAAGGGUUUACCUUUUCAUUUAAUAAUGAAGUUGGUUCUAUAGAUGUUUUCUAUAAUAAUGUCUUUUAUUUUAAAGCAUUACCUUGUGAUGGUGUGUAUGAAGCUGUAUCUGUUGUAGAUAACUUGGGAAAUAAUGUUUUGUGUAUUGAUUCUACUAAUAAUAACUUGGAUAAAGCAUCUUUAUGGCAUUGUCGUCUUGGACAUAUAAGCAAGAAACGCAUAGGCCAACUCCAAAAGGAUGGAGUCUUGGAGUCGUUUGACCUAAAGUCAGAUGAUAGUUGCGAAUCAUGCUUACUUGGAAAAAUGACAAAGUCACCCUUCACAGGUUCGUGUGAGAGGGGUGAAGGUUUGUUGGACCUUAUACACACGGAUGUGUGUGGACCAUUCAAACAUGCCACAAGGGAUGCUAAUCGUUAUUAUUUGACUUUUACUGAUGAUUAUAGUAGAUAUGGAUAUGUCUACUUGAUCAAGCAUAAGUCAGAGACUUUCGAGAGGUUUAAGGAAUUUAAACAGGAAGUCGAGAAUCAAUUGGGCAGGAACAUUAAGAUGCUUCGAUCCGAUCGUGGUGGUGAGUAUCUUAGUUCAGAGUUCCUCGACUAUCUAAGGGAAUGUGGGAUAGUCUCACAAUUGACACCUCCCAGGACACCACAGUUGAAUGGUGUGGCUGAGAGGCGUAAUCGAACCUUGUUAGAUAUGGUUCGUUCCAUGAUGAGUCGAGCUACGCUACCAAUCUCAUUCUGGGGGUAUGCCUUAGAGACUGCCGCCCAUAUUCUUAAUCUAGUCCCUACAAAGAAAGUUGCCAAAACUCCUCACGAGAUGUGGACUGGUAAAGUACCUAAACUAGACCACAUCAAGAUUUGGGGUUGCGAGGCUUUCGUGAGACGCGAGACUCAUGAUAAGCUCGAACCUCGAAGCGAGAGGUGUAUUUUCAUCGGUUACCCACAGCGAUCCUUUGGUUACCUCUUCUACAGACCUAGUGACAAUGUGGUCUUUGUAGCAAGAAGAGGAGUCUUUCGAGAAAGAGAGUUUAUAAGCCAAGGAGACAGUGGGAGGCAAAUUGAUCUUGAAGAAAUUCAAGAAUCAAGCGGUGAAGGAACUUCAAACUCUAGCCCUCAACUUGAGGAGGAAACUCCUGUUGAGCCAAUUGACAAAUCUGUACCUCUGAGACGUUCCACGAGAGUUAGGAGUGCACCUGAGCAUUACUAUGGAUUCCAUAUUACUGCAGAAGGUGAGACACUUAUUAGUGAUGAGACACUAGUAAGUCAAGAUGACCCUAACAGCUACGAGGAAGCCAUGGCAGGCCCCGAGUCUGCUAAAUGGAAAGAGGCUAUGGAUAGCGAGAUACAAUCCAUGUAUGACAAUCAAGUUUGGAACUUGGUUGAAAAUGUACCAGGUCGUAAGACAGUAGGGUGCAAAUGGGUCUUCAAGAAGAAGACCGACAUGGAUGGUAAAGUACACACUUAUAAGGCUAGACUGGUUGCAAAGGGCUUCUCUCAAAUUCCUGGAGUGGAUUAUGAUGAGACCUUUUCUCCGGUAGCCAAGAUUAAGUCUAUUCGGGUUCUGUUAGCCAUAGCUGCAUUUCAUGACUAUGAAAUAUGGCAGAUGGAUGUCAAAACCGCUUUCCUUAAUGGAAAGUUGGCUGAAGAUGUUUACAUGAGUCAGCCAGAGGGUUUUGUCAGCAACGAGUACCCUAAUAGAGUGUGUAAGCUUGAGAAAUCCAUUUAUGGAUUGAAGCAAGCACCUCGCAGAUGGAAUCUUUGCUUUGAUGAAAAGGUCAAGGAAUUUGGCUUUUCUAGGAGUGAAGAUGAAUCUUGUGUGUAUGUCAAGGCUAGUGGGAGUAUAGUUAGCUUUUUGGUAUUGUAUGUGGAUGACAUACUACUCAUAGGAAACGACAUUCCAACCCUGCAGGAAGUAAAGUCCUGGCUUGGGAAGUGUUUCGCUAUGAAGGACCUUGGUGAAGCUGCCUAUAUUCUAGGGAUAAGAAUCUUGAGAGAUCGGAGUAAAAGACUAAUUGGACUUAGUCAGAGUACCUACUUGGAUAAGGUGCUGAAGAGAUUCAGCAUGCAGGAUUCCAAGAAAGGAGAGUUACCCAUCCAGAGUAACACCAGAUUGAGUAAGACACAAAGCCCUAGCACUGAGGCUGAGAUAGCAGAAAUGAGUCGAACACCUUAUGCUUCGGCUGUAGGAUCGAUCAUGUAUGCUAUGACGUGUACUCGACCCGAUGUAGCUUUUGCCUUGAGCAUGGUUAGCAGGUAUCAGGCGAACCCUGGCAAGGCACACUGGACUGCGGUAAAGAAUAUCCUCAAGUACCUACGGAGGACUAAGGACUGGGUCCUUACCCUCGGUGGGAGUGAUGACUUGAGAGUUGUAGGGUAUAGUGAUGCUAGCUUCCAGACUGAUAGGGAUAAUUUCCGCUCUCAGUCGGGCUGGGUCUUUACCCUAAACGGAGGAGCAAUUUCUUGGAAGAGUUCCAAGCAAGAGACAGUGGCAGAUUCUACUUGUGAAUCAGAGUAUAUUGCAGCUAGCGAGGCAGCAAAGGAGGCGAUAUGGCUGAAGAACUUCAUUGGAGACCUUGGAGUUGUACCAGCUAUUAAAGAGCCAAUAGAAAUUUUCUAUGAUAGUGAAAGCGCUGUUCCUUUAGCCAAGGAACCAAGGGAUCACAGGAGAUCCAGACACAUCGACAGAAAAUACCAUUUUAUCAGACAUCGAAUAGAAGAAGGACUCCUUGUGGCAAAGAGGGUAUCAUCGGAUGAGAACCCAGCAGAUCCCCUCACGAAGGGACUGACUCGGGUUAAGCAUCUCCAGCAUGCUCGGAGCAUAGGGUUGAAGGAUGAUAUUAGAUUUAGUAGUUAGAUAACCUCAAAAUUUGUAAAGUGUAAUUGACAUUAGAUGAUGAAUAAAAGGUGUUUUAUUUAUGAGUAAAGUGUUGCUAUCUCUUGUCGAUCGUUUACUAUAUUUCUUUUGCAUGUUUUGACUUCCAGAAUAACUUUGUUUGGUAUAACAUAUUAUUUAAAGCUCCAAAGUUGGUCAUAUGUCGGAAGUAGGUAUGAAUCAAGACUGUCAUGAUUGGUUGCAGAGGUCUAAGGUGUUGGACAAGGCUACAACAAUCAUGAGUGCUCAUAAGUUCUGAGCAUUGGACUCAACCCACACUCACUGGAAUCACUUCAUGGAAUUCUAUCUCGAGUGAUCGUGAGACGGUAAUAUCAUAUAAGUCUUCAAACCUAGAGAUAUGAUUUGUUACUUACAAGUUGGUUAUGCAUUGAUUGUACGAAAACGCAUUGGUAACUUGAUCUUAUAAAACGUGCUUUUCUGUAUAAUUCAAUGAGUGGUAGAACAAAC